Molecule: RNA transcript, 46585 nt
Organism: Columba livia (rock pigeon)
Lineage: Eukaryota; Metazoa; Chordata; Aves; Columbiformes; Columbidae
Gene: PIGG
Gene name: phosphatidylinositol glycan anchor biosynthesis class G (EMM blood group)
Exons: 17
Source: RefSeq, a predicted model, not a curated record
GUGGGGUGAGCGUGAAAGGGCGGAGCGCCACGGGAGAAGCGGGGAGUGUUGGGGAUCGGUGGCGCCGGUGGAGGAUGCGGCUGCGCUCGGGCGUGUUCGCCUCCUCUUGCCUCCUCAUGGAGGCCCUGGGGGUCGCACUGUUCCUCCGCGGCUUCUUUCCGGUGCCGGUCAGGUCCCUGUCCCGCAGAGAAGUCCGCGGGGACCCUCCGGCCGAACCAGCCCCGUCCGGCCCAGGAACGGUUUCUAACUGGACCAAAAUUCCACCACCACUUUUCAAAAAAGUUGUCAUUGUGCUGAUAGAUUCUUUGAGAGAUGACUUUCUGUUUGGACCAAAAGGCAAACAGUUCAUGCCAUAUACAGCACAAGCUGUUGAAAAAGGGACAUCUUACAGUUUCAUUGCUGAAGCAAAACCACCCACUGUGACUAUGCCUCGAAUUAAGGCUUUGAUGACAGGUAGCAUACCUGGUUUCAUUGAUGUUAUCAUGAACCUCAAUUCUCCAGCUCUGUUGGAUGACAAUCUGAUAUGGCAGGCAAAAACAUCUGGGAAAAGAAUAAUCUUCUACGGUGAUGAUACUUGGAUUAAAUUGUUUCCAAAAUAUUUUGUGGAAUAUGAUGGAACAACAUCCUUUUUUGUGUCAGACUUUACAGAGGUUGAUAAUAAUGUUACCAGGCAUUUGGAUAGAGUGUUGAAGAGGGAAGACUGGGAUCUCCUUAUACUGCAUUACCUGGGGCUGGACCAUAUUGGACAUCUGACUGGGCCAAACAGCCCAUUAGUGGGACUAAAACUUAGUGAAAUGGAUAACAUCCUGAAGAAAAUUCAUAUUUCUCUGAUUUCCAAGGAAGAAGCUUCUCUGCCCAAUUUGCUUGUUGUUUGUGGGGAUCAUGGGAUGUCUGAAACAGGUAGUCAUGGUGGUUCUUCAGAAGGAGAAGUACGCACACCGUUGCUGUUUAUCAGCUCUGCUUUUGAAAAGAGAAGUGAUCCUCUGACCCAACCUGAACUUGUGCAACAAACUGAUUUAGCUAGCACACUGGCAGUAGGUCUUGGUCUACCAAUUCCAAGAAACAGUGUUGGAAAACUUAUAUGGCCAGUUGUGGGAGGCAAGACAAUGAGAGAACAACUACGUUUUGUACACUUGAAUGGGUUCCAGCUUAGCAGACUGCUGCAAGAGAAUACACCUGCGUAUGAAAAAGAUCCUGGAUAUGAACAUUUUAAGAUAGCAGAAAAGUCCCAUGGUAAUUGGAUCAAACUGUAUUUAGAGGGGAAUAAUUCAGAAAUACUCUUAAAUUUUGGCAAAAAGGUUCUGAAGCAAUAUUUGGAGGCGUUGAAGACUCUGAGUUCUUCACUAAGCAAACAAGUAGCACAAUAUGAUGUGUAUUCGAUGCUGGUGGGGGCUGUGAUCAUUAUGGAGGUUCUGCUGCUGCUUUUGCUCAGCAUUCCAAAAGCCCUGAGCAGCCAGGCAGAAUUUGAAGUGCCCCUCUCCCCUCCACUAUUCUCUCUACUGUUUUACUUGAUGUGUCUGGUGUUGUGUGCAGUUCAUGUCAUUGUAUGCACAUCAGCAGAAAGUUUGUGCUAUUUCUGUAGUUUGUCCUGGUUAACAGCAGUUGGAGUGAUGAUGCUGAUUUCUGUGCUCAUGUGUGGUAUUUUAUCUACCAUUGCAAGGGUCUUUGAGAAUUCCAGACUUCCACUGAAGAAUCCAGUUGUGUCCAGUUCCAACUGGUCAGAAAUAGAUCUGCUGAUUGUGACUGGAACACUUGUCCAUGUAUUGAGUUUGGGAGCAAGCAGUUUUAUAGAAGAGGAACAUCAAACCUGGUAUUUUCUUAUCAAUACACUUUGUUUGGUGCUGUGUCAGGAACUUUGCAGAAAUAAUUUUCUUCUGAAAGAAUGGGACCCUCAGCAUAGCACCACUGUGAAACAGAAUUUUGAUCGUAUUGGGGAAGUCUCUGAGUGCAAGAAUAUAGACAUUCUAGCCACAAGUAAUUCAAAAUUGGGCAAAACCACCUCUUCAGCUGGAUUCAUAAAAGGCUCAGAUAAAUGGAUAAGCUUAGCAAGUCCAUGGAUCAUCCUUAUUUGCUGUCGGCUACUUCGAUCCUUGAAUCAAACAGGUGUCCAGUGGGCUCAUCGGCCAGACUUUGGACAUUGGUUGACAAGCUCUGAACAUAAAUCUGAACUCUCCUUCUUAGCUGCAGUCUCUCUACUUAUGGUCUUCUUUCUGGUUCAAAGAAGAUGCUCCUUGGUUUCAAAAAUUGCUAUGGCACUUGGGCUCCUGGGAGUCUACAGUUACCGGGCAGCUAUUGGAAAUGUCGUAUUUCCAUGGCAACAUGACAGCCAAGAUAUUUCAAAGGGGAUUACUGAAGCUCGUUUUGUUUAUGUCUUUGUUCUUGGCAUAGUCUUCACUGGCACUAAAGAUAUACUAAAGUCACAGGUUAUUUCUGCAGACUCCAGUGUGAAGAAUACAGGAUUAUGGGAAGUUUAUAGUGGACUGGUUCUGCUAGCAGCCCUUCUAUUUAGACCUCACAACUUACCAGUCUUGGUGUUUUGUCUGCUGAUUCAGACAAUUAUGACAAAAUAUAUCUGGAAACCUUUGAAUUGUGAUGCAACACAGAUUACUAUCAUGCACUACUGGUUUGGCCAAGCUUUCUUUUAUUUUCAGGGAAAUUCAAAUGGCCUUGCUACUGUGGAUGUUACAGCAGGUUUUGUGGGACUAGAAAGCUAUGUGGAAAUACCAGCUGUCUUCCUUACAGCAUUUGCAACUUAUGCAGGACCUUUGCUUUGGGCCAUUCAUUUGUUGUGCUACUUGAGCUCUGAAGACAGCAGAAUUGUUCAAUUAUGACCAAUUCAUGGAAAAUGUACCUGAUGCUUUCCUAACUGCAGUCCUAAUGGUGGGACCUGGAAGGUAUUUUACUGUGUAUCAUUAUUGUCUAUCAUUAUUUUAUUGUUUAUCAAUAACUACUAAGUUAAUGAUAAAAGAUUGCUGAACACUUUGCAAGCCAAAAAGACUCUCAAAAUCCUUCUCUUUGGACUCUCAGAUUACUUCAAAUGUGUCUCUGUUUAGUCCGCAUAUUUGAUGUUCUACCUUAUCCUUGACAUCAAUGCUGUGCAAAAGCUUAAGGCUGAUGCAUCUCUUAAAUUGUAGUGAGGCCUUCAGUACAGGACCUGAGCAACAAUCAUACAUCUGUGCGUUGCCUUCUGCUGCACAAUGAACAUGCUGCAGAAAGAUACCUAGAACUUCGAGAGGUCAGCAGGCCAUCUUCCAGGUUUGGGGAAAGGUGAGCUAACUUCCUCACUUGGGAGAAUGAGGAUUGCUUAGCUAUGUAUCCUGUCGUUUGACAUUGUACCCUCCAGUGAGUUGGGACAAAGAACCUGUUUGCAUCUGAGAGGAGAAAAGAUGGUGUUCCAGGUGAGUUGAGAUGGAUCAGAUGUAAUCUUGUUUGUUCACUUGUUGAAUGAGAUGUCAGUCUCAUGUGCCCAGAUCAAAAUUUAGGUAUUGAGCUUUACACAGGGAUCUUGAAAACUCCCUACAUCAAUGCCACUUUGUCUUAGAGGAGUCUAUCCUCAGAAGAUGCCUUACUUAUGAAUUUUAAAGUUUUCCAUGCACCAAAGUUGUAUUUUAUCCAAUGACUGUUUCAUGGCAAGAGCAUAAUCUGCUCUUGAAGGAGGGACUGGAAGUCACCUUCUAAUGAGUACCAUGCUAAACUGUGGCCCCUUUUUGGGUACUUCUUUUUUUAGCCAGAACAACCUUUAGUUUUCUAGGGAAAGAAAUAGCAAGGUAGGAGUGGAAGGGGAGAGCAGGUGCCCACUCAAACCAGAGUUGUGAUUCUGGGAAAAUGUAUCUUAAGAUCCCCUAAACAAAAAUAUGGGAAUCAGUCUCUGCCCAGGGCUGACCUGUAGCAGAAAAAGAUGUGGUGGGAAGGUAUAGCUCACUUCCAUCAUGACUUCUUCCUUUGGCUGCAUGUUGGGACAAGGAAUAAUCUGGCUUGGUCCUGUCACAGGUAGAGUGAUUUAGGUUUCUACCUCCCACAGAACAAUGUUUAAAUCACUCAAAGAAAAGUGUGACUUCGGAGAGUUUGAUGACAAGGUUCACUGUAUUAUUUAGUGCAUGGAGGAAAUAAACCAAGCAGAAUGCUGCUUACCUUCGCUCCAGCGACCGGAUGUCAGGUUGCUCUGAAGUUUGGAUCCUAGGAUUUAUGAAGCAAACUCUGAGGCGUCAGAGUUCAUAGAAAUAAAUAAUUCAAUGGAGUAGUAUAAUGGGAGGGCUGGCUUGAGCUCAGUGCCUGUGCAGAGGACCCAGCCAAGCAUAGAAAUCUUUGUAUUUUUAUAUAUUCACAGACCAUUAAUCUGCUCCUCACACCAUGAUUUAGUUCAAUAGCAAUAUUUGAGUUUGUGGUCUUCUUAUUGGAUCUUUUUCACUGAUCUCAGAAGGGCCUUUAUUUUGUUUACAUGUAGACAUUUUUUAUAGUCCACAGCCUUGAAGGUGCUGUUUUGUCUGAAUGAAUUGUUUUCUUCCCAACAAAGUACAGAAUAUGCCCUAUCUUGCAGAUGUCCAUAAUGUCUUCGUUUUAACUUUAAAGUCAUCAUUUUCUCCCCAGUCAAUUCUGUUCUUCCCAAUAAAGUGUGAACUAGACCUUUUCUCACAGGUAUUCGGUGUGGUCUGUAGCAGCUUUUGGUAAAUAUGAGCAGAACUUCACACAGCUUACUAAGUAACAUGAAGCAGACAGUAUACUAAAAAUCACAUAACCUUAUAUGACUAGAUGAUUAAUUGUAUUUAGUAUGCAUUUACUUAAGUUAAAUGAUUGAUAUGAAACUUAAAUUGGGCUCAUCCAUUAGUAAAAACCACUGCCAUACAGCCAACUUGUUUAGCAGAGAGAGCUCUAAGUAGGCUCACACAGGCUCUCAUAUUUAUAGAAUAAACCGGUUGACUUGUAGUGAAUUUGCAUACAGUGGGAAAGGUAAGCACAAGACUCCCUGCACCCACAACUUAUCAGUGUACGGUGUGCUGUUCUGCUUCCUAAAAGGAGUUCUUGGCCUGACUGCAGCUUUGGCCUUUACCUUCUUUGGAGUCUGUACUAAACUGCUGCUGGUUUGGCUGGCGGGGGGGACAGAGUGCAUCUGCCACUGGGGUCCUUGGAAGCAAAGACCACCAUCAGCCUGCCUUCAUGGUGUGAGAUUUCUCCCACACAGAUUUGCAGCCUGUAAAGUACUUUCCUGCUGCCUGAGGCCUUGGUGUGGUGAGCUGUGAUUCCUGCCCUGGCUUGGUAACAAAAAUGCUGUCCUAGCUGAUGUUGCACCUCAUCACUCUGAGAGGUCUCUGUCCCUAGCUCAGAUGCUUUGUCUGAUCUUUCCCUAGACUGUUGUUGCAAGUGAUCCCCAUGAAAGCAUAUCCUUUUUCAUUUCAGUCAGGAUCACUGAGAUAUGUAGGUUAGUGAGUGGUGAGCAAUGAAGCCAGCAAAGCUGAAGAAGGACACACUGUCCUUUUUGACCAUGGCAGCAGCUGCUGGGGGGAAUUGACUCUCCAAGGAGGGCCAGGUUCAUUGAAGACACAGCACUGCCCUUGGUGUUUCAUUUGGCUACUAGAUCACCUUCUUCUCAGUCCCCAGCCUAGCUACCAGGUUCCUCAGAGUGAGCCACCCACAGCGUACUUUAUGCUGGCCAAGCCAGCAUGGGUCCAGCAGCACUGCGCCUCCACAUGCACAUUGCAGGGCUGUUCUGGGUGUAGUCUUUGAGUUCCUGCCAGAACUGCAUUUCUUGCUCCCUCAAGGAGCCAGUACUGCAGCCCACCAUCUCGUGUUUUAGAUCCUGACUCGCCUGGUCUGUGUGUGGGGUGUAUUGUGGGGUGAUGAUGAGGUAGCACUGGACUUUUCUUGAGUCCCUGGCACAUUUGUAGACUACUUUUAAGGGACUGCUGAAAGGUAACCUUUUGUCAGGGGACUUAAAUUCACUGUAUAAAGGUCUGCAACACCACUGGAAAUAUUUUAAGGUUUAAAAAGGGUAGAAAUUGUUAGCAAAUAAUGGAAAAAAGGAACUUCAUAAUCAGCCCAUGAAGGCUGCUGGUCCUGCACAUAUUGUGUCCCUAUCAUAGCACUUAUGAAAAAAUUACACUUUUAUCUUGAAGUCUUUGGCUGCCUGUUGAGCCUGAUGGCUUUGAUGGUUAGAAAACUCCCAACUAUUUCAGUGCUAAAAGUAUUUUAUGCCCAGCUUGCACACAUUUGUUCUGUGCCAACUUAAAUGGGUCCUCUUGUUCUUUGAUGUUUACUCUCUGGAUAUAUUUACAGACACCAAACAUACCCCUUUUGAGCUUUCAUUUUUAUAGACUAAGCAGGCCAAAUAUUUUCUCCCUGUUGUUUUUUGUUUUGUGUCUUUGUUUUGUGGGUUAGUGUUUUUGUUUGGUUGGUUUGUGUUUUUUGUGGGUUUUUUUUGUUUGUUCUUUUUUUUUUUUGGGGGGGGGGUGUUUGUUUGUUUGUUUGGGUUGGGUUUUGUGUUUAUUUAUUUUUGUGUUUUAUUUGUAUUAGAAACUCUUUAUACUUUGCAGUUUGAGUUUAUCCUUAGGCACAUAACCAGGACAGUGUGCUGCAUCUUUCAUGGUCUUACCAAGGCCUCGGAUUAUGGUAUUAGAGCUUCCUCAUCUCUAGUGGAAAGUCCUUGCCCAUUUACCCUAGAAUUUGUGAUUGCUUUUUACCCAGGUCCUUCCCACAAGAGGCUAUAUGUGUACAUAGUGCACCUCAUUCUUUGUCCUCCACUGUUGUUCCCAGCUGUGGGGCUGCCAGUUGGUGGCACUGAUGAGCUUUCCCCUUGUUUGAUUUUUUCCCCUCAAUUUCUGCUAUUCCAGUCCCCAAGUUAAUUCAGCUUUUGCCUCUGAUAUUUUGAACCUGCUAUGUGUUUACAACACUGUUGUUCCUUCUGUUCCUCAAAGAACCUUAUUUGUUACUUUCACUCAUUUCACUCUACAACCUGCUGUUGUCUCCUGUCUUCUUCCCCAACUUGUUCUGGUGCCUGGUUCUUACUGUAUUUCAGAAGGGGCAUACAUAUGUUUAAAUUUGUUUAUCUCCUCCAUAUUCCAAAUUUUUGUUAUAUGAUGAUUAUCCCCACCCUCCAGGUUUGCAUCUGCUUGUCCUCCUGUAACACUAGAUUGGAGCUGUCCAUGCAUCUCUGUUUGGGUCUGUGAGGCUUUGUGAGUCCAGGGCCCACCUUGUGUGAGAUUGCUCCCUUAUCUUCAGUAAUUUCAUUUCCAUGGGCUGUCCUGCUUGGCAGGGAAUUCAUCAGGGUGCUCCAAAAUACUUUUUUUUUUCCUUUUUUUUUUUGUCUCUUGAAUGCUGCCUAGUACUUCAAGAUGUUAUUUCCUUAUCUUCCUAUUCACAUAACUACAAGCUCUUCUUGUUAAUUUUUUGAGCAGUAUAGCUGUGCUGGUUUGACUAAAAUGAUUUAAUUUUCCUUCAUACAGUUAGAAGCCAUUCUUUUUCAUAGCUAGCAUGGUCAUUGUUUGGAUUUAAUUUGAGAAAAAGAAGGUAACACCCCAGGACAGAGUUAACAUUUUAAUUGCUGGUGUCUGGGAGCCAAGGACUUUUUCUGAGCUCUCUACCCAGAGGUGUGAGUUAGCUAGUAAGGGGGGCAUGGAUGAGACAGACCUUGAGAGACAUCCAGAUUGAUCAAUAAGAAUAUUCCAUGCCGUUAGCGUCAUGGUUCAUAUUUGAGGAGAGUCAAGAUCUUCGGCCAGGUUCAAAGUCAGGAUGGACAGGGAUGGAGACCUGUUCAGGAAAGUUCUGUUCAGGAGUUUCUCUAGUUUGGCUUUUUGACAUAUUGCCAUUUUGCAGAGGCCUCUGGGCCUUUCUGCCUUUUUCUCUUCUCUCUCCAGGAUCAGCUGUUGGGACCAGGGUGCUGCUUCCCAGGACUGGCUGCUCCAUGCAGAUGGAGUUUGUGAGGAAUUGCAUUGAGUAUCUUUUAUUUUAUACUCUAUUUCAAUUUUACAUAUACUAUUAGUAGUAAUAGUAAUAUAUUAGUGUUAUUUUAUUGAACUAUGUUUAUCUCAGUCCACAAGUUUCUCCCUUCCCUUUUAAUUUACUUCUCCAUUCAGGAGUGAGAGUGAGCAGCUAUUGUGAUUACAUUGCUGGCUCAGGUUAAACCACAAUAGUAGCUCUGCUUGACUCAGUUAUUCACACUUUGCUCUCCAACUCUUAACCAUAUUUCUGGGUGAGGUUUUUCUACAUUCUUGCUCUUGUGCUUCCAUGUGUUUCAUUUCACCCUCUUCUCUAAAUCAUGAGGUGCUCCUGGCUAACUGCCAGCUCUUGUCUUCAGAAUUUUUUCUCUGGUGAUGGAUCUUACAUUUUUUUUUUUUAAUUUUUUUUUUUUACAGAAUCCUCUGAUGUGUAAAUCUGCCCCUCCUUGGUUUAGAGAUAGAUGUCUUGUUCACUUAUAAUUCUUCUGUCUUUCUGUUUUGGUAUUUCCUUCAUACAGCCUCUCUUUCUUUCUCCUGCUACGCUUGCUGCUCCUUUCUUCCUGGCCACCCCAUCUCGUUCUCCUGCUUAAUUCUCCUUCCCAUUACCUGGGGACAAACAGUACCUCAACUCUAGUGGGAGUCUUUCUUUGCUGCAAUUAUUUUGCCAUGUGCGUUGACCAGAGCUAAAGCUUCUUUCCUUUCUUUUCUUCUGGUAUGGCUGCAUAUUCCUAUUUGAAUUUGAGCUGCUUUUCUCAGGGAAUUUUUUUUUUUCCCACAGGAAAGCUGUAAAGGAUGCUCAGCAUGCCUCAUCUUUCUCUUUUGCUGUUGAUAUCUAUGAUUUUUUCAAGUCUUCCCAUCACUGUCAUAAUUUCAGACUUUUAUUUCCUGCCUUCAUCUUAAAAGAAUUUAAUAACUUCCCACUGCACUGACAACUUAUUGUUUUCUGUUUGCUGGAUCCUUUCAUUGCUGCCUGUUGACUAUCUAAAUUCUUGACUCAGUUAUCAAGCUAUAUAUAUUUUUUUUCUUCAAUUACUAUCUCUUCGUAGUAUCUCGUGUCAGAACCUCUUUUGUGGCUUGCCUUAGAGAACAGACUAGUGUGAAAAAUGAGUGAAAGUGUUGCCUUUUUUUUGUUUUUUGUAUUAACACUGGGUUAUUAUUACUGCCUGUCUUGUGCUCAAGUCCAGGACACCAACAUUUAUAUCAAAAGCUUUGUAGCUAUGUGCUCUCAACUCUUAGAAGAUUUGGAUUUGCUGUUUGCUAUUACUUGAAGGAUAUUCAAACUAUAUAUGUCUGUUCCUGGCGACUUGGUGAUACUAAACUUUGAACUAGAAUGGGGAAAGAAUAUAAAUCAAUAGAAACUGUUUAAGCAACAUCUCAGUGUGCUUGAAUUUCAUUUUUUUCCCUAGAUCUAAUCCUAUUGUCUUUCAACAUGGGACUGUGUUGUAAGUGAACUAUUCUUGCUAUCAUUUGGUAGGCAGUAGUCUUCUCUGAUGGCGAUAAACCUGGACAAAGUUGCAGGUUUCGAAAGUGGAAUGCUGUACGGUAGUUCUUUUUUCUUCGGCAGGAGAAAACGCAUCUGCAAUCUUGGAACUGACAGCCAGGGAAGACCAACUGAUGUGAGUCCAUCAUGUACACUGACUGUGCCUUGAAGGUGAAUGAUUCAUUCUAAGUGCAUGAAACCCAUCAUGAAACCCAUUUCCUAUUGGACUCACAGGUGACUGAACACUUGAACGUAGGAGAUGUUGGUACUCCAUCAAUAUAGACUGCUGUAAGGGGCUCUGAAGUUGCCCCCUGCCCUUACCAGCUUCUUAGGCAGGUCUUGAGCUAAUUUGUCUCAAGUGAGCUCUCAAGUGAGCAAGGUGGGCUGAAAAUCCUAAAAAACCUCAGUUAUCUCUGACUCAUUACUGGGAGUGUGGGGUGACCCCCCUUUCCCCUGAUAAGUCUCCCACUAAAACAGAAUCCUAUUCUGUAUCCCACUGUUACCAUUUUGAAAAAGAAUGUCUUUGGGUGAUGGGUUCCAUUUUUUUCUUUUUCCACUUCUUCUAAGCCCUCCCUGACAAACACUGCCUUCUUUGAGCCUGAGAAAUCUUCCUUGGCAGUCGAAGGCCAGGUGGCUGUGCUCAGAUACAUCAUUUUCCUGAUGCAGCACAUCAGGCAGUGGUUUUGUGAGGCAUCUGGACCUGACUAUAGGUCAUCAGUCACAUCCCCCUUAGAGAUCUAGAGCAGGACUGACUUGCUGACAGAGACAGGGUAGUGUUUCUUGGCCUUUUUGCUCAGUAGGUCUCACUGGUAGUGACACUUUCUGUUAGCUUGGGAGGACUGCAGAUUCCAGACUGCCUGUGUGUGCAGAGGGUUUGUGCUAAGGGAGCUGGGUCUCUUUAGCUUGGAGGAGACUGAGGGAUUCUCAGUGACAACCAAUGAUAAGACAAGGGGCAAUGAGUACAAACUGAAACACAGGAGGUUCCACUUAAAUAUGAGAAGAAACUUCUUCAUGGUGAGGGUGACAGAGCACUGGAACAGGCUGCACAGAGAGAUUGUGGAGUCUCCUUCUCUGGAGACAUUCAAAACCCGCCUGGACACAUUCCCGUGUAACCUGAUCUAGGUGUUCCUGUUGCAGCAGGGGGAUCAGACUGGAUGAUCUUUCCAGGUCCCUUCCAAUCCCUAACAUUCUGUGAUUCUGUGAUCCGUGAUUCUGUGACAGCCAGGUGGCUGGGCCUGUGUGCUCUCCAUGGGACAUGGCUGGACAGAGGAAGGUGACAGGUGUCUUUCAGCGAGUGAGUGUGGGGGAGAAGGGAGUCCAGUGCAGCCCCUCACAGGUGUUCUCAGAGGGAUGGUGUGAGCAGUCUCUAGUGUUCAGCAGUUGGCAUUGUCUGCUUUUGGUUUUGUGCAAGUCUAGUAUGUUUUUUCUUUAAAUCUUCAUCAUAGUGUUCCAUAUUAUAUGUGCUGUUUGUAGCUAUUAACCAUACUUGUUUUGAGAUAACUCUCUGCAAUAUGGCACAUACAUAAUAAGGUAUAAUUAACUCAAAUGAACCAUGUUAAGUUUUGCAACACUUCUCCUGCCAUGUUCUGAAGCUGACUUUAAUAGGUUUUGUGACUAAAAAAUCCACGUUUGCAGGUUCAGGUUAUAGAAACUCAUUCAUGUUCCAGGUGUUCCCUUUUUCAUUUCAGUACUGUGCCUUUGAAUUCAAUAAUUUGUUGUUCAGUUGUCUGCAUAAUUAAUUUGCAACCUGGAGGACUCUCUCCCUCUGAGUACAAGAUCCUCAGAGUGCAUCUUUGGUGCUCUUCACAUGAUGCUUCUGGGGAGCUGCUGAUCAUGAUGGCAUCUCAGUGCCCCAUUUACAAGCUCCUUACCUUGCCAAAGCUAGUUAGAUGAGUAAAUGCAAUGUUUGACAAAGGCCUGAGUACCACAUAUGGUGAAUAACACUUCACCUUGUUUAUUUAAAGACUGAGCCAAAAUUUCGAUUUUUAUUCUUUUUAAAAUCUGCUUCCCCCUACUUUUUCCUUUUAGUGUUAAUUUUGUUGUUGCUUUUGUUGUUCCUUUUGGAAAGUGCUCUGCAGUGUCAUGCAUUAAGAAGUCAUAUAAAACAGGUGACUGAUUGAAAGACAGUUUGGCAAUAAAAGAAAGAUGCUAAUGCCAUUUAUGUGUGUGGAGCAUACUGUGGCAUAUUGCAGCACUCUGGUGCCCAGCACCCUGCUUCUCUGAUGAAGGAAAAUGGUCAUCUUCAUUUGCAACUAAGCGUAGCAUUUGAAGGUGGCUCUUGGUCCUCUAAAUGAUGGCUAACACAUUUCUAAGCAUAUUGUCUCCUAAAGAACAGCUGGAAACAGCAAGACUGCUAGUGUAUAUUGCCAGGUCUAGCCCGUGUUCCAGUUCAGGAAAAACAGAAAGUGUAUGCACAGUAGAUGCCAAAAAUGCUGACACUGGCACAGAAAGGUCUCUCAGUUGUUCUCAACACAAAGAAGUUUCUUGAUAUCUAUGAAACAGUUCAUCGUUUCUGAGUUUUUCAAGACUGCAUGGCUAUUAAUUUCUUCAGGUUAUAAUGAAGCCUGUCACUGAUUUUAAUGGCCUUGGAUCAGACAGGCAUUGGUUUUUAUAUUUUUCAACUACAGUGUUAAUUAACUUAGCAUGCAGAUUUAACUAUGAAGCUUUGAGUUUUCAUUUAGUUUUUAUAAUUUAAUUGUGGAAACGUGGCAGUAAAUGUAGAUGAGAAAUUAUGUGCAAUUAAUAUUGACCCAGGACUACUCAAAUGUCAGACACUUGUCUCUGAUGACUCGCUAGGAAAUCCAAUGUGUUAAAUAUUGAUUUUGUAACAUGGGGUUUUCAAACAACUUUGAUACUGAGCUAUUCUUCCUGAAGCCAUAUUCUUCCUCAAGUCAGGACUGUGUGAAACCUUGAUGUCUGCAAGAGCCAAUGCUGAAAGUCAGAAAAUCCUGUCACUUGGUGAUGCUAGCAGUCAUGUUAUCUCCUGCAACUUUUUUUUUUAAAUGCUGAAACUACAAAUAGUCAGAAUUAGCCUUGGUGUGGGUAUGUGUGUGUGAGGUCAGGUAGGGGUUUGUUUUCAUGGUUUUUAAAGGAAUAUAGUGUAGACCUGUUGAUAAAUAGCUCACAGGAAGUUAGGGGUAUGUAUUAUUAUUAUCACAGCAGUUCUUAUGCCUUUGCCUGUCCACACAAUUGGGGAAGGGGAAUUAGUUUCGAUGCUGACUUUGUCCUUGGCAUAGCCCACAGAGUGGACCACAGGCUGACUCCAUCUGUUUUAGAGAAGUGACUCAAAGAAGUGUUGAGAUUUGUACUCUAAGUGGCAAAGACAGACAUUGAAGAAGUGAGUAACCUGUUCUUUUGUCUGCUGGUGAGAUUAGUAGUCGCAUGUUUAAAGUAAAACUUUUUAGCUGUGUGGAUACUGAACUGGGGAACACGAAGCUUGACAGACUAUGGGAAUGACAUUAUUGGAAGUGUCCAAUAAGAGAUUGGGCAAGCAACCGUUACAGGUCAUUCAGGCAGAGCUGGUCCUGCUGUGGUGCCUCUUUAGCCUGAUUUUCUGAGUGGAUGGCACACUGCAAUGCUUUUUAUUAUAGCUGAUGUUUAAUAUUUCAAGGAAUGAAAAGUCUCUGCUCUGCUGCGGCCUGGUGAGGAUGGAAGAGGAAUUCUCUUGACUAUGGGCAUUCUCAGACCUUUCGGAUGGCCCAUCACCUGUGAAUCUGCACAUGAUGCUUAAUAUAUUACCCUGUGGAAACUAAGAGGGAGAGCACAAAACUGUCUCUUGUUCUGUACUUGAAAUGUGAAGUUUAAAAACCCUCUAGUUACUAAUAUAUGUGUAGCUACAAAUGUCACUAAUAGCCCAGGCAAAGAGGCAGAAAAAAUGAAGAAAAUGAAGUUCCUGAAAUAGCUGCUAUGUUUGAAUUAGAGGUAAUGAGGAUUGUGCAGGCUUUAGAUCUUUAGAUUCACCACUCAGCAAAAUGGGAGCAAGCAAGGAUGACAGAUUGGAGGGAUGUUUGUGCCUUGCAAACUGCAGGGGUUCAUUUAGUUGAAAGAUGCUGUUAGUGUUCUAGGGCAGCAAAACUUGUUUAUUUAAAAACAGAACACAGAGACAGUGUUAAAAACAUUUCAGCUAUCAAAAGGGAGAGAGAUGAUAAAUUGCACAGAUAGACUGCUGAAUUGCAUAUUAAAGGCACAACUGCAUGGGCAAGCUCAGGAAUGGCUCUUCGCUGGCAUAUUUGGAACAUAUUUCUCAGAUUUGUUGCGCAUCAUGGUCUGCACAAGACUUGGAAGUUUGACUGCUACUUCAUGCUUCCUUUCUGGCUCACCUGAAACUCCAUUAUUCACGACACUUCAAUCUUUGGCCUGUCUUGGGAAGCUCCAUAUUGCAGACAAUAAAAUACAUAGCAUGUUGUGCAGAGUGUAGGAUGGGUAAGGAAACAGAAGUCAGUGCUGUCCCAUUACUAAAUGGUGUCUCUCCCAUGACUCCCUGUCCUAUGCACUUGAAGGCUGUUCUGCUGCAUGAAUGGACAUGUCUCCAAUAUACAGCCCCCUCAUUCCUCCCUACUCAUGCAUUUCAUGUGCCAUGUAACUCAGCCUUGGAGGACAGAGCACUGCAGAGCAGCAGAAUGUCUAUACCUGAGCAAUUGUUAGAUGCAGGACUCCCACAGGUGCUCUGCAUUUCCACAGCCUCACACCUUUCCCAUUGUAUGUAGCCUUUCAGAAAAGAGGGGGGAACAUGUCAUCCCUUCUUCCCCUACUCCCUGCCUCACUUUUGAAAGCAACAGCAUUUGGAGCAGAGUGAUAUCUGAGCCUACAGCUUAUUGCAAUUUUCAGUGCAUUGUCUCUCCCUGUGAAGAGCUGAGAAGCUAAGUUAGGAAAAUAGCCACUAUCUGCUGCUCCAACUUCUCCUGGAAAAGCUCCAUGUUGUUCUAUGAGGGGAGAAGCAUUGGCCUCAGACUGCUGUUUGUUACACAUAGAAGAAAAUAACCAGUUGCCUGGGAUCAUUCUGGUGGAACGGUUUGUAACACACGUGCGCACUGUAGCUGCUUCACCUGCUUCAGAGCAUCUGACUGUGUUGCAUUAUGUGUACUGGCUUAGAGGGAUUUCCCUUGAUGGAACAUAAAAGUUCAUUUGCAGUCCAUCACCUUAUGUAAAAGUUUGAACUGUUUUUGUUCAAGUGCGUUGCCAUACAUAGUUAGGCUAGCUAAAUUUAAUGCACACUCUGCUGAAUCCACCACUUUGCUACAUCCAGUGAGAGGGUAUCAAGGUCCCUCUGAAGCUUUCAGGGACUGCAGGGGUGCAGAGUGCUCUGUGAACACAGCCAUAUUGCUUGUGCAUCCAUAUCUCAGCAGGAAAACUGCUAAUUUGUGCAUGGCGUAAUUCCCACUUUUUAGAAGUUACCAAAAAUGUAGCAAAAGUCUAAGUUAGGAACUACUGUUCAGAUUUAGUGUGUAUUGAAAUAGACUAGGGUAUAUCCUUAGAGACUGCAGUCAUUAAAACCUUCAAGAUGUAAGUGUAUUCAGUUUUAUCUUUGCUAUUAUACAGAACUAAAGCUGCACACAUCUCUGCCUUUUCUUCUUUAUCCUCUACUCCACUUCAUGCUCUUGUCCAUUUUGCUGUGCCUUGAUUCCUGGGUCUGUUUUGUCAGUUUCCCAAAGAGUCACCUCAUGGUCAAAAGACCAAAGAGUCUUUUCCCAUGAAAAUUCCUAAAGCUGAUUCAGUCUCCCUGAGGUUAUCUGCCAGGCUUCUGGACAUACUUAUUUAAUUAGGGCUGCUGGAUGCUUGGAACAUUUCCUCUUUCUUAUUUCCCUUCCCUAAUCUCUGUUCUUAAAGUGCAAUGGCCUGACUAGAAAAACCAUCCUUCUAUUUUGGGAAGGAGCUUUGCAUGUUUGUAUUUCUUCUGUGCCGUAAAUCUCUCAGAAGAAGAAUGGGAAUGCCUAAAUGAUCUAGGCUUUGAGGUUUAAAAUUUGCUUUUAUUACACUGGAUUUGUUACUAGAGUUGUCUUCUUGUAAAAGUUUUAUAUGAAUUAAUUUGUUGCUCCCUGCUGUGUCCCAGGACACUUUGAAAAUAAGACUUUUUUUCAAGAGUUUUAUUCUGCUAUGAAUAUUUAUAUACAUCAAGUUGCAGUAAACCCAAACAAUUUUCACAUUAGCAAUGCAAUCUGCAGUUUCUCCUGUGCCUGUGUCAGUGACAUCAUGCAGUUGAAGUAGGGGAAAAGAAAAAAGGUUUCAAAAAAGAAGACUCAAGAUUAACAUCAUGGACUCUAAUAAAAGUCUUGAAAUUAGCCCUUUCAUCAUACCAUAUUUAUUGUUUUAAUUUACUUUGGUGGCAUUCAGUAUUGGUGAAUGAGGUAUGGUUGUCUUUGCAUAUUACAUGCAUAAGUAGAAGGUAAAAGGAUUUAACAGAGCCCCUUCAUAUGAGGAGCACCUGAACCAGCCCAUGACCCUGAGUGAGAUUAGGUGAAAGUAUCACUAAAGGGCUUCCAGGUGAGACUCUCUAAAUAUUGAUGUACACCUGGGUUUAGAGAGGUGUGUGUUCAACAAAGGAACUAACGUGAGGCUUCACUUCAGGAAGAGUGCAGAGUUUAGAGGAGCCUUUUGGAUAUGCACCUUUUUGUUGGAGAAAAGCCGCUAUAGCUUUGGCAGCUGGAACAAGGAGUUUGCAGUGGUCUUUGCUCUUCAUGUCUCUAGCUGGGCUGAGCAGACCACUGGCAUAAGUAAAACUCUGAGUCUGUGUUUCCUAACAGUGGAAUGCUUGUGGAUGACAACAGACACUGGUGCUAAUACUGAAGGUCUGCAUGUGCCCAGCUUUGUUGAGGCUGCAGGGAAGUCAACAGCUUUCUCUGCUGGUCUUCUGCACCUGGAAAAUACCUACCAUCUUCCUGAGUCAGUGCUGCAGGGGAUGCAGAGGUGGGGUGUGUCUGUCAAGGUAAUUUUAGGGGAAGAGACAGCGGAAUGGUGGGCAAGGCAAAUGAAGGAAACAAGCCAUGGCAUUAAUGGGGCAAGAAGGCAAUAGCCACCAGUCAUCCGUGGCACUGAUGAAGGUGGCACCAUAACUGAGCCAACAAAACUAUCCUGACUAGCUUGGAUGCUGGUCACCAACUAACUAAUGUCUUGUUCCCAUUCCAUUAAGGCAGACCAGCACAGCUGGAGAUAUAGCAACUCCAUGUGGGCAAAGAAAGCACGUAGUUUUCCUGACGAGCUCCACAGGGCAAAUAGAGGCUGGUUGUGUAUUUUCUGUAUUUCAAAAAGGUUAUAGUAGUGUGGCUAUUAGACUGCUGAUGCUUUUGCUUGGGUGUGGGUCUUGACACAUGUGUUUCCACAGCAGGAUGUCCAUUUCUGUCCUGUUAGUGUGUAAAUCACUGAAGCAUCAGAACUUUGUGGUGACCAAAGAACAGGGCUGAUAUCAAUUACAUGUGGAUCUUCACUUCCUCUGUCCUCUGAUGGGGAGAUCUCUGUGGUGGCUUAUUACAUGGCUGGUGUUCUAUGUGCUGUUUCCUCUCCAGUGAACUCUGGCAGUGGAGAUGGAGUUUAUAAAAAGGAUAGCAUCUUUUCCCCUGUUGUUUGUCUCACACUGUGCCCAUUUGUAAGUAUUUAGCAUUGACAGGCUCUACAGAUGUACCAUUGUUUUCUUUAGAUGGAAUACCGCAGUCACACAAAUGUCAAAACUUCACGCUUGCUGUCUCUGUGUUGCAGAAGCCUUCCUGCCACAGUAGUGAUUAUGUGUAGAGUGGUGGUGUCUCAUCUCCAGAACUGCCUCUCCUCAAAAGCCAGGGCAGACUAGCAACAUUAUGGAGCAGAGCAGGCGUUCCCCAAGAACAUUUUCAGUUUUGUUUCCCUUUCAGUGAAAGGAUAUACUAGUGGCCCUGUGAAGCUCACGUCUUUUUUUAUUCAUUUUACUUGUUCACACAGGCACUGUGAUAGCAGUCACUGAAUUAAGCACUCUCAUUGAUAAGUGUACUCAACUUGCAGGGUGAAUGUUGUCCAUUUCAGGGCCAGUGCAAAUAGUAGGAAUAAUAGUAGGAUUUUUUUCAAUGAUCCAAUUGGUCCUUUUUUCCUGGACCUUAUGUCUGUGUCACAUGUGUCAUGGCCCAGGGAGUUUCCAGCACAAUUUAGAGCUACAAUGCCUGGUGCUGGCCAGGCGAUGGCGUUGGCAUGAGUGAUGUACUAUGACACUUUCCGUCUCAGAUUGUGUUCCCUAGUAGGAGUCCAAGUGGGAUUAGGAACUGAAAUAAGAGGUGAACAAGGGAUGUGAUAAAAAGAGCGAAAAAACUGUACUGAGGGGAGCUGGGGAUGCAGAGAGGGUAUGAGGUAGGGAAAGGCAGGCAGUUUAGCUAAGAAAUGUUGCCACUGAGAAUGGCAGGCACCUGGUAUAGUAUGUAGUGGUAAACAGAGGGUGCCGGAAGACUGACUUUAUGUGUGUGGAAAGAGAAGGUACCUGAGCUCAGUGCUGGUCCAUCCAUUUAUAAUCAGAAUAAGCUGUUUGCUAGGUCUGCUUUUCCAGGCUCAUGAAGGUACUCAGGAGCUGGUGCUGGCCAGAGAAAGGAGCAGAUCUGGACCUGGUGCUGCAGGUUCAGUAAUGGCAGAGUGCCUUGAUGGCUGUCCUGGACUUUCAGCUGCAGAUAAUGUUCUGUCAUUUUCAAUUUGGAGACUAUUAUAAAAGAGUGGAAAUUCACCCCCACACACCCUGCCCCUAGCUCCACAUUUGAUGAUUCCUUGCUCUGUGUGCAAAAGCAGACUGGGUCUCGCCGAAGGGGAAGGCAGGUAGCAGUAUUUUUUAGAUCAAGCCCAGCAAAUGGGAAGAGAGCAGCUGAAGAGCUGUUUGGCAAUGCAGGCUGUGGUAAGGAUCUACACCAGCAGGUACAUCUGCAGAACAGAAAUGAGGGGAACACCAUGAGAUCGCUGUCCAGAAGUUGAAAGGAAAAUCACGGUGCACUGAGUUGAGAGCAAAGAGCAGAACAAGCAAAACUGCCAUAGGGAAAGCCCUAGUUCAGUUCUCAGGUCAUUGUAGAGAGGAAACAAACUGGAGGUCCUUCAGAGGGGAGCUGCAAAAAUGAAGAGUUUGUGAAACAGGAGAAGAGCUCAGGCAGUCAGAUGUGCUCAGUCAGGGGAGAAAGGCAAGAAAAUCGGUGUUUACCAAUGCAUAAAAGGCUGCUGCAAAGAUAAAAGGGUUAGACCAAUUAUUUUCAGUCAUUGACGAAGACUAUUCAAAGAAAAUGGAUUUUGAGGCCCAGCGAGGAAAAUAAUUUCAAUACUCCAGUGAAACUUGUAACCUGCUGAAUUUUAAUUCUCUUGAAGCAGAAGAAAAGGAUUUCAGUGGGCAUGGGAUCAGCAGUGUAACCAAGAAUACAGCUGGCAGUCAGGGCCAGUUAUGAAGUAGCCAGUGGACCCACUAUUCAGAUUAGAGAGCUUGCAGGGAAAAGCCAAAAUAUGCUGCUGUUUGAAGAGAUGCUUUCCUCAUGCUGAUCCUAGCAAAGCCCCAAAUCUCAGCCCUUGCCCUUCCAGGAGAAGGUACCGUUGCUAGAGGUACAGAAUGGCUUUUUUAAAAUGGGGAAGAAGUCAGCUUUGCUUUUAUUUUUGUGAUUGGAUAAUAACUAAUAGAGAGUAUGGUGAUAUGUACUUUAGUCCAGUUUUAUGAAUGCAGUAGCUACACCUCGUCACUCUACGGAUUUGCACUAUGCAUGUCCCUGUGCAGAUCAGUCAAACAACAUGAAGUGCUGAAAGGGAGUUGUCUGCAGAAUAUUUUUAACCUGGUAUAUACUUUUCCCAGAAAUGCCAAAUUAUGUAGGGGGAUAGUAGUAGACUAAGGUCUUGGACUGCAGCACUGAAGUUCAGGAUCCACCAGGGUGCUCUAUGUGCAUCCUCUUCCUUCUCACACUCUGGUGAAUACAGUAAAAUAACGGCGCAAAACUUCUGAAGGCAAAUGGACCUGAACUGCCAAACCAAGAUGUAACACCUAACACCUCUGGAUCAUAGAAUCAUAGAAUAGCUUGGGUUGGAAGGGACCUUCAAAGGUCAUGUAGUCCAACUCCCUGCAAUGCGCAGGGACAUUUUCAACUAGAUCAGGUUCCUCAGAGCCCUGUCCAUCGUGGCCUUGAAUGUCUCCAGGCGUGGGGCAUCUGCCACCUCUCUGGGAAACCUGUGCCAGUGCCUCACCACCCUCAUUAUGAAAAAUGUAUUUGUCAUAUCCAUCUCUUUCUUUCACCCAGAUUACAGUGGGCUGUGGAUCUCCUUGGGCAGCACAGGCAAUGGCAACUUCCUGACCUGUCUCCGCCACCAUGUCUUGGGGGGGAUGAAGGAACACAGCUAUCACUUGUGGGGGCACUGACAGCUGUACCUGGAGGAUGCACUGGGCUGACUCCAGCUGUAUGAAUGCAAAUUCCAGACACACAGAGAAAGUCAGCAGUAAAAGCAAGUUAUAAGUGGUAAAUCUAAAUGAAAGAUUCGAUUAAUCCUCACCUAUUUAUCUUAGUAACUUCUGCUGAAUCGUCUGUGACAAAAAUGCUGGAAUAUUAAACCAGGACUAUGAUGCAAAAUGCAUUUCCUGUCUCUAAUGAGUACAAUUUCAAGCUAGAUUCUGGCAUUCUUGCAUAUGUUCAGUAAUAAUUUUCCAUUUGCUUGCUAAGGGACAGAUUAGUGUCUGGCAAAAUAUUAUGGAAAAUUUACAAUCUGGUUUUGCUCAUAUGUAACUCUAGCCCCAUCUUAAUUUUUUUGCAUGCACUGUAAUUUAUUCUCGAAUAUUGUGUUAGCCCUGCUGACAUGUCAAACUAGAUACAUAAGACCAUUUUCAUAUGCUCUUUGUUCCAUCAAGUACUUGAUCUAGUGCUUGAAAUUUCUUACCUGUGUUUGUGCUACUCUGGAUGGUCAGUUGUAUUGUUUUUUGUCUCCUUGUGGGGAACAAGAUUGUGAAAGCACAGGGGAAAACACACCUCUCAAACAGAAAAGGCUGAAGGCUUAAGAGAAAUGUGUGCUUUUGGACAGCGGGGCUUUCAGUGGGAUUACAUGGUAUAAUAAUGCAUGACUCUAAGCAAAGACAGUGACUGCAAGAGAUUAAACAAUUUUACCCACCCAUGUGAGAAGCCCUAAUAAGGACCAUAUCAUCAUGAACUCAACUAAUUUUUCCUGCCUGGCACCUUCCAAUUAUAUCCUGCUUGAUUUAUUUGUUUAGUGAUGAAUUUAUCUUCGAAAUCAUAGAAUUGUAGAAUUCUUUUGGUUGGAAAAUACCUUUAAAAUAAUCUUUUCCAAUCAUUAACCUAACACUGCCAAGUCCACCUCUAAACCAUGUCCCUAAGUGCCUCAUCUAUGCAUCUUUUAAACACCUCUAGGGAUGAUGACUCAACCACUUCCCUGGGCAGCCUGUUCCAAUGCCUGACAACCCUUUCUGUGAAGUUUUUCCUAAUAUCCAAUCUGAACCAGCCCUGGUGCAAUUUGAGGCCAUUUCCUCUUGUGCUAUCACUUGCUACUUGGGAAAAGAGACUGACCCCCACCUCGCUACAACCUCUUUUUGAGUAGUUGUAGAGAGUGAUAAGGUCUCCCCUGAACCUCCUUUUCUCCAGACUAAACAAUCCCAGUUCCCUCAGCUGCUCCUCAUCAGACUGCUCCUCCUCCAGACAGUUCACCAGCUGUAUUGCCUUCAGGGGAACAUUUAAAUUCUCUUUGAUAAGUUGUAUUAAGUAUCUUUGGUUUGAGGAGGCUGAUUUUAGGGAAAUCAUCCCUUUCUCCUCCCCAUAGACUCCUGUCAAGCUGGGAACUUCCUGUGAUCCCAACAAACAGCUUUGAAUCAUUCUUAUGAGGAGACACCCCUAUUUAUAAAAAAAAAAAAUUCUCUGACCUUGUCCAAAAGCAACUGGCAAGGAUGAGCAAAACGUAAGCGUACUUGUGUAUGCGUGAAGGGAAGUGUCAUGAUGAUGGAGCCAGCAACAGUCCUAAUACCAGUCUUAAGGACAUGAAAUACAUUUUCAGAGUUGGGGAUAAAUGCACUUGUUCGCAAUACCUCAAAGGAUGUUCAUGGGCAAGUGCUCUGUUUUGAGGCAUGGAGCCCUAUGGAGAAUGUGGUGCCUGAGGGGAAGCCCUAGGCUACUCACCUGACAGUUGCAUUCGUCCUGGUAUGUGGCGGAUAAGCAGGCACAGGAAGAGCAGUGGCCAAUACUUUUCUUGCAGGGCCAUGUGUCCUGGGCAAGACUGACAAGGCAAGGAGCAAUUCUUGUCACAUUUCAAGAGGGGUAUGAGUGAACUUCCCAGGUAGGAAGUAGCACACAACUGUCUGGCUUUUUUGGUACUUUCUGUGCUCUCAUAGCCUCUGUGCAGAGAUACAGCUGCAUUUCUGUCACUUUUUUUUCACCCCAUCUAACUCCUUGUAGUGUAGAAGUGGGGAGAGGUUAUGCUUUCUCCAUUUAUUUUAAUGGAAGAAAGAGAUAAGGAACAUAUUGGUUUGUCACUACCUGGUGUCCCUUUACCCGUGGAUUCUGGUCAUUUUUGUAAUAUCAUGUUCUUUGGUUUCACAGUUUUUGAACACUGCCAUCAUUAUGGAGUACCACCAGCAACUUAUCUUUCUACACCAGAGCAACCUGAGUACUUGGGCUUGUAACUAUCAUCCAUUUCACCAGUAUGACAGCUAGAAAGGUUAUUUGUCCAAAGACCCAUGAAACAUGCAUGACAGGAGGAGCAUAAAUCUGUGCUGGUCUUUGAAUUACUAAGUCACUGUAUAAUCAAUUAAACUUCUCCUAGGUGAGGUCCUUACCCUGUUUAUUUUGGUUUAGCCAUAUAUAAAACCUUGUAUCACAUCAGUAAUUUUCAGUUGUGAUGCAUAGCAGCUUUUGAGCCUGCCUGCCUUAGUUUUUUUCAGACACAUGGGAAAAAUCCUGCCACUUCUAGAUUUGCUAUGAAGUUGAGCAACAUACAGAUGAAGUGAAGAUCAUGUUUUGAUGCUGAAUACAGUGCUUGGGAAUAACUGUCUGGCCACCUUGACUGAAAUGCUGCCCUGUGCAAGGGCACACAGGCUGGAGAUGAGAGGUGAGGACUCCAGCCUGUGGUCAUUGUGGGUGGGUGGAUGCUGGGGUCCACACUGCAUUAAUGCCUAUGUACUAUGGUGGUAUGAAAAUCACUUGCCAGCUAACGAGCACACUGGAGGACAGAGUGUGUGAAAGCAGUGCUUGCUCUUUGGUGGUAUCCCUCUGGUGUCUUACUACUCAAGCACUCCCUUGGUAAUUAAAGCAAUUACAAUGGAAAGUGCCAGAUUGUCUGUACUGGUAUUAAAAGAAUAGGGAGGAAAAUGUUCUGGGGAAGGGCCAGGUCACUGUGGUAUGUGUUUCCCAACAGGAUUUCUCAGGUGGUAUAUGGGAUUCAGAACACACGCCAGCCUCUGGCAAUUCUGCUGUUUUUCAUUAAGUCCUGACUUUGUCUGAAAUUGCUGAGUACCCAACCCCCAUUCUGUAGAACUGGGUCCCUGCUGUCAGCAGACUGUGUGGGUGGUGUGGGUCCUUGAUAGAGUGCUAGUAUGCUGAGAGGAAUUUUCCAGGAGGGGCGAGGCAGGUGGAGGUCAAGCGCAGGCUGGUAACAACUGGUGUUGCUGGUGGAGGCUGUGUUGUGAUGUCCUGUGAGAAGAAAAACGUCACUUCCUUCCAUUUGGAAGUUUUCUUUACAGGACUAGGUGGUGUGCUAGGUUCUUGGUGACAGUAAUUAGGGGAAUCGGUGCAGGCAUACACUGACUGGAUAUAAACUAAUGCUCUAAAAAGCCUUGUUAGUUAAGGAGGUCUGACUGGAGUUCAGCACAGCUUGUGACACAGAAUUGCUGGGGGGAUGUUUUACCUUGAUUACUGGAGACUGUAUUUGCCUGUCUGUUAAUCCAGCUGAACUUGCUUGGUUUAACAAAGAGUUUAAAGCAGUAAGUUCUCAGUUUCUAGCAGUGCAAUUUUCAUUCUUUGAACUUAUUGCAGACUCAUCCGGUCAUGCUUCUGAGGAAAGCGAAGCUGUUUCAUGACAUCCUGCUUCACUGGGGUACAAACACUUAAACACUUGGAUCGACAUUUUCUGUUUUCCUAGCGUUGUUGUAGCUAUGAUGUUCUGAGGACACAAGGCAAGGUUUUGAGCAUGAGUACUAAGUUUUACUAAUUAGCCAGUGUAAUAUAUGAAACAAACUAUAUUUCUGGCUACCACGUGAGCUUUCAGACACAUGACUGUUCUUCAGGUCCACUCUAGAUAUCAGUGUAUGUUUUCCAGGCUUGACUGGUAUCAACGGGAAACUCUUCCAGCUCAGUUCUGCAUUUUUUCUUCUGACUUUAUCUUUUCUAGAAGUCUUAGUCCUGGACAACAGUGUGCGUUCAUGCAAGUGCUACUCUGUGUGAAUGUAUGCACACAAGAUAUAAGUGGCAGAAAUGUCACUAAGUAUCAUGGAAGGUCAUUCUUCUCGGUGACUGAAUCAUUUUUGAAACUGUAGUUUAAAAUGUACUUAUGUGAUUGCUUUGCCUUCUUGAGCAACCCUCUGCAAUUUUAUGUAGAUGUGUUUUCUGCAGUACAGUGGGAGGCACAUGAGAUGAAGGCUGAUUGUUUUUAUUUAGGUAUUUGUAUGCAACUCUCAUGUAUCAUUUAAAAACAAAGAAACAAAACCAGGUUAUUUUUAUACAGAAGAAUGCUUGUUGUUCAUUUAAGAGACUGCAGCAAUUCUGCCAGCUCAGGCCUUAAGAAUCUUUUAGCAAUACUGAACACUUUCCAGAGGACAACAUAAAGUGACAACAUAUACUUCACUGCCAGAGCUGAAGUUGUGAAGUUGGCCGUGUUUUUAACCUGAGCAUCCUAAACCAAUCACCAUCUUGACUACAUCUGGGUUUCUCUUUGCUUUAAUAUAAUUUGUAGUAAGAAGCAAACCAGACACGUAAGUCAGUAGGGGAGUUGUAAAUUUUCAUACCGUAAGUGAUAAGAGUGUAGCACUUUCACUUUAUCCUCAUGUGGUCUGUGGAUCUGUAAGCAACUGCUCUGGGUAAUAGAGGAGAAAAAUAAAUACUCAGUUUUGAGAUUUCAGUGUAGAAGGAGGUCACCAGUGGAGUCAGACAAGGGCCUAUGCUGUUAAAUAUAUUUGUAACUGUUACGGCAAAGGAAGUGAAGAGCGAGAACAGUUUGUUGAUAAUACUAACCUUAUUCAGUGUUUUAAAGAUAAGUAUGUACAAAAGAAGAAUCUCAUGAGAUUGAGCAGAGAAUAAACAUGCAGCUUAAAUUCUGUGUAGGCAAAUGUAAAGGAAUAUACAUGGGAAAGACAAUCCUAGCUUUAAACAUAAAGGACUCUGAGUUGACUAUUUCUACAGAGGUGUGAGAUCUUGGGGCUACAGUGGAACUAUGGAAAUGUGAGCUCAAUGCACUGUAGUGGUAAGGGAACAAGCAAGGGCAUGGAAAAACAUAGCACUGGGUAAUACUAGGAAGGGAGCAGGAAACCAAAUGAAGAACACCAUUAUUUUACUGUACAAUUCUGUGGUGUUUGCUGGGUAGUCCGUGUCGUGCACAGUCGUGAUUGGUGGCAGAAUGGAAUAGUUCAGUGGAAGAGACCUACAAUGAUCAUCUAGUCCAACUACCUGACCACAUCCUGGCUGACCAAAAGUUCAAGCAUGCUAUAAAGGGUGUUGUUCAAAUGCCUCUUAAACACUGACAGGCUUGGGCACCGACCACCUCUCUAGGAAGCCUGUUCCAGUGUUUGUUGACCCUCUGGUUAAAGAAGUAUUUCCUAACGUCAACUGUGAACUUCCUCUGGUGCAUCUUUGAACCAUUCACACAUGUCCUGUUGCUGGAUCCCAGGGAGAAGAGUUCAGUACCUCCCUCUCCAAUUCCCCUGCUCAGGAAGCUGAAAUGAGGUCACCCCUCUUACCCUCCUUCUCUCCAGACUAGACAAACCCAGAAUCCUUAGCAGGACCUCUCAGGACAUGCCUCUAGCCUUUCCACCAGUUUUGUUGUCCUCUUCUGGACACAUUCAAGUGCCUUAACAUCCUUCUUGAAUUGUGAGGCCAAGAACCACACACAGAAUUCAAAAUGAGGCCACAGCAAGAUAAUCACCUCUUCUGACCAGCUGGUUAUGCUGUGUUAGAUGCACUCCAGGAUGUGGUUUGCUCUCAUGGCUGCCAGGGUUCACACUGCUGACUCAAACUGCUGUCAGCCAGAACCGCUAGAUCCCUUUCUGUAGGGCUGCUCUCCAGCCAUUCCUCUCCCAAUGUAUACUUAUGUCCAGCAUUACUGUGUCCCAGGUGCAGAAUCCAGCAUUUAUUUUUGUUAAAUUUCAUGCCAUUAAUGAUUGCCCAAAUCUUUAAAGGGUUAUAGUUGAAGAUGAAAAGGUACAAAAGGUGGUGGUAUGGAUGAAAUAAGGAAUAGCUCCUGCUAGCUUGGCUUCUUCAAAGUUGAAAAACUGGAGAGUACACAAAGAUCUAUUACAUUAUAAAUGUCAAGCAGAAAAUAGAAGAGGAAACUCACUCUUUCUUCUGGUCCAAGGACUAGAGGGCUUGCAAUGACAGUAACUAGUAGUCGCUCAGACCAAACAGGAAAAUACAUCUCUCCAGGGAACUCGCACCCAGGGAAGUCUCUGUCACAGGGUGCUGUGCGUACUGUAAGCUUUAUACAGUCUCAUACUGCACAACAGCUCAUCACCUCUGGCUUGGGCAGCUACUAGGAGCUACCCACCAUGCAUGCUGGUUUUGUAUGCUUGUGGUCACAGCUCAUGGCAGGGUACUCGAGACUUCUGUUAUGGUCCAAAUAUUUAUCUUCAGUUAGAAAUAAUGUUUGUAUUUAAUCUACACAUUUUUUUCAUUUUUCCCUGACUGAGAAAAUGUUCCUUUGUGGCUGCUUUAGCAUCUCCCAAUACAAGCAAGUGGGAUAGUAUUUGUCUUCUUGGAGCUCUAUUGGCAUUCUGAGGGGGAAGUCUAUGUGCUCUAUACUGCUGCAGCUGAUCCUGGCCUUCGUGGACCUCUCAGGCUAGCUUUUGUGAGGAUCUGUUGCAUGAUAAGAAUAAAAAACUCUGGGAAGAAUCCAAAUAAAGAGGGGUCUAAUAAUUGCAGUGCAUGUGGUUCAAUGAAAACGAAAGCAUUUAAUGCAAUCAUGUUCUGGGUUUCUGGCACCAUUCUGUGCAUUGGGAUGGAAACAGAUUUUUUUAUUCCUUGCCCCAGUGCAACCAGUUUCCAUUCUCUUCCCCACACUGCUCAUAUUAGGAUGGAAAUGUGAGGUUUUAUGGCUAAAACCUAAAACAUAAACUCAGAGGAACACAACACUGAAAGGUAUGGAAAGUGUCUCUAACCCAUCAGUGGCCCACUGGUGAAUACCUAGGAGAAAGGCUUUCUUGGCAUAGUUUCCAGCUUCCAGCACUGCGUUGUCCUGAGCCUGGGGAAUCCCUCAAGUUAGAAGCUGGAUUUUAUUCCAUGGAUUUGCCUGACUUGCCUGACAUGCCUUCUUGCUAGUUCAAACUGGUGUUGCACUUUGCAUUUGUUCCUGGCACAGACAGGCUGAGAGCAAGACAGGGGCACCACUGAGCUCUUCAGUGUUUGCCCGCGCCUACUUGGUAAUGUGUACCUGCCCCUCCAUGUCUACAAGGAACACUGUCUCCUCUGCUGUUACUUGGUAGUGGGGCAAUGAAGCAUUCUCGAGCUUCCCAUCCCAGAGCAUGCCUUGAGGGGAGAAGUGUGCCCUUGCUUUGAACCAUUCUAGCAUGGGCAUGCUGCUGAGAUGUGCUUGAUGUGCUUGUGGAUAUGCUGAAUAGCAUCAGACUUGUGGCCCAGGUAGUAGUGAAAUUUAAUGCAUGCAUAUACCCUCAAAACAGAACAGUAGAAUAAAAUUGUGUUCUGUGAAAUAAUAAGGAUUGUCCAUGGAUGAACAGCAAGAACUAUCUGCCAAGUGGCACUCAGAGAUUUUGCUCAGAGGGUCGCUGUAUCACAGGACAUCAGAGUAAGGCCACUGCACUGAAAAGUCUGAAACUGUCUGAAAGUUUGCAUUUCAGAAGUCUGAAACUUCAGUGUUUUUCUUGCUGAUUCUUCUGCAAGACUAGCUAACCCUGCUUGAGCCUACUGCAAACUGCCUAUUUUCCAUCCAUUAAUACAUUUUCCCCUGUAUUGCAAGGAUAUAUUUCAUGCAGAGGUUCACAUUGUGUCAUCUUUCUCAUAUUGACAGUUCUGCUAUGCCACUAUUGAGUUAGCCCUAAGAGAAUUAUUUUCUCACAGAUUCUUCUUCCUUAAAUGGAUUCUGAAAAAGCUUUGGAAAUGAUGUGGACAUGGUUGCCUAUAAAUAUGAAAAUCUGAUAGGUUUCUAACCCCUAAUUUUUCUCAACAGAAACUAUAACAUCUUUUUUCAGAGUGGGUAUGCAUAUGUUACAAUGAUGACAACUCUGUCAAUAAAUUUUUCAAUUUGAGAACAAAAGAAACAAGGACAAAUAUCAGAAGUCUGUGAAGGAUUUUUAAGAAGAGGGCAAAUAACAAAUGUAUUGCAGAUUUUCUUUUUACUUUUCUGUCUGAUGCAUUCUCUUCAGGCACAAAAAUGUUUUAAGAACAGUACAUGGGGAUAUUUUGAGCUCUGUAAAGGAGGGAAAAAAAAGGCUGUAGGGUACUUUAAAGAGAUGGACAUAGUAUUAAAAAUGUCAUUAUAUAUACCAAAAUAGGUGUAUCCAAACCCCACCUCUAAAUUAUUGGAAUCAAAUCACAAAAUCUUUAGUGUAUAAAAACAAAGGUGAAAUAUUAUUUCUAGUGAGAGAACAAAAAAAAAUAUAACCUUCAAAUAAUUUCUUACAUAAGUGAAAGUCAUAACAUGAAACAAAACAUUAUCAUUUAUCCUUGAGUCAUGAAGUGGGAAUAAAAGACAACUGAAAGAUUUUAGUCAGUCUUAGCCUCAGGACACAUCAGCAGAACUUCACUGAAAUUAGAGCUGUUCACUGUGGGCUGAAUGAGACCCCAAAUACAAGGCUUAAGUAGUAUAAUUUAUAUUGAUAUAGACUGUAGCUUUGUAUUAAUAGUAACCGUAUCCUGCAUAAUUCUUCUUUAUUACAUGUGUACAAUUGUUCCUCCUCAGUUCCAAACUAGAGUGGAACAAAUCUGGUGAAAGCGUUGUGGUUGAUGGAAUAAAUCACUUUCACCUCUACCACUGAUUCCAGCUCUGUGUUCCCUGACACCUAAACAAAAGAUCAUUUUAUUCAUAAUCAUGGAACCACAGAAUGUUAGGGAUUGGAAGGGACCUCAAAAGAUCCUCUAGUCCAAUCCCCCUGCUGGCGCAGGAACACCUAGAUGAGGUUACACAGGAACAUGUCCAGGUGGGUUUUGAAUGUCUCCAGAGAAGGAGAUUCCACAACCUCCCUGGGCAGCCUGUUCCAGUGCUCUGGCACCCUCACUGUGAAGAAGUUUCUUCUCAUAUUUAAGUGUUCUCCUGUGUUCCAGUUUGUACCCAUGGCCCCUUGUCUUAUCAUUGGUUGUCAUAAUGUUGGUUAUUGAAAAUCACAACAUGAAAAAAAUUGUCUUUACAGAGGGGAAUGGUCUCCAAAAUCUUCAGAAAAUAUUUUUAUUAUGCAUGCAUGGUUACCCUUAUUAUUCAAAGCAUUAUUAUUUCAUCAUUCACAUAUUAGAGUUACUGAAUAGUUAAAACAUAUGAUGGAUAUUUUAUGAGUGGAAGAGGAGCACCUCCCUGUUUAUUACGAAUGUCACACAAGCAGACAGAAUUGUAUAAAUCUUAAAUGACCAUUCAGGAGGGAAAAAAAUAUCUCUGUUUUGUCGUUUUAAUGAACAAGGCCUAGGUUCAGAUUAACCAGGGCUGAAGAUAUUAUUUGCAGAUAUUGUGAUUUUUAGUAAAGGUUUGUGGCAGUGACACUGCUAAAAUACACAACUUUUUCAUAUUCUUGCCAAGCAACAGAAAGAAAGGGGAGCAUCACAGUGCAGGAUCAACCUGUGCUCAUUCAGCCAGGUCUGGUCAUGCAGACAGGCAAAUGCUGUAGGUUUCCAUGCUCCCUCCAUAGUCAAGUUGAUGGGACAAACAGGUGGCGGUGGAGUCUGGUCAAUGCUGGGCUGAUCAACACAUUGCACCUUGGCUUUCAACUGUGGAUGAACUGCUCUUGCAAGUGAACACCUGGGAAUAAAGUUUGAGACCCAUUGCCUGUACUACAUUAACGCUUCAGAUGAUUGAGGGAAUGUUAUCUGCAAAGAGUUGGAAGGCAGCAUACUCUCUGUGGUUACAAAUAGUAACAGAUCCACAGAAAGGUUCAGAAGGUACCAAGUCGUGGACACACAAAGGGGUGGACUAAUUGUUGUAGCACAGGUAGGACACUGUAGGCAUCAUCUCUAGAACUAUUUCUUCUCUCAGACUGCUGAAUGGAGAGAGGUGUUAGUGUGGCCUCAUAUAAGCAAGUACUUGGGGAUGCCAGGUCACCCAGAAGGUGCCCUUUGCAAGCGAGACUCUCUCUCCAGAACUGAUGGGCUCUUUGAGGCUCCAUGGUGAAACACUGCCAAAUAUCAUAUAGUUUUAAAUACUGACUAUCUCAUGUCAGAGCUUGUGCACAGAAUUCUGCACAAAGGGCAUUCUCAAUGAAGUGAGAGCACUGAAGUACCCAGUACUUCAUUUGGCCAGAGAUGCCUUAGUACGCAGUGCUACUCCACAUAUUCCUUACCUUGUGGGAGCCAGAGCAAGACUUUGGUGGGACAUUUAAGUGAUUAAUCAUAAAUGUCAAAAGAUUUCCAUUAAUGCCUUUCUCAUCAAACACUGUUCCUUCAUCGAGGAGAAUUUUCACAGGAGUGCAUAAGGGCAGGUGCAGACAGAUGAGUCCCAGUCUGGGUGGAUGAACUGGUAUGACGCUGUCAUGUUUGUAUGUGUUUACUUUGUACCCAGGAGCCAUGCUCUCUAGGACAUGCUUUAGUUUGCCAUUUUGAAUGCAUUAGAAACUGCAUGUGGGUAGCAAUACCUCCUUAAAUUUUCAUCCAGAAAUGCACUGCUUCAGUGUCUUGUAAAUUCCCAUGACAGUGCGAGAGACCAUUUAUUACUUCUAAUAUGAACCCCUAACUGAUGUUAAAGAUUUGCUUCACUUUAUAUCCUGUGUUAGAGAGACUAAUGUACAAGCUGUAAACUGAAGAUAUAUUUUUAAUGGCAGACUGUUCUGAUUUUCUUUUUUUUCAAGAACUGCAAUUAAAAACUGAGUUCUGUGCCUAAUCCAGCAGUUUCACCUCCUUCUGAAUUUUUUGACUUUGUAACCUUUGAAACUACGCUAAGACACGUGGAGGACAGGGAGGUGUUUUGAGACAGCCAGCUUGGCACCACCAAGGUCAAGUCCUGCCUGACCAAUGUAGUGGCCUUCUACGAUGGUGUAACUACAUCAGUGGACAAAGGAAGGGCUACACAUGUCCUCUAUCUGGAAUUCUGUAAAGCCUUUUGACAUGGUCCUUCACAACAUCCUUCUCUCUAAACUGGAGACAUAUGCAUUUGGUGGGUGGGCUGUUUGGCAUAUGAGGAGCUGGCUGCAUGGUUGCACCACGAGAGUGGUGGUCUAUGGCACGAUGUCUGGGUGGACACCGGUAACAACUGGUAUCUGUCAGUGGUCCGUACUGGGACCAGUACUGUUUAAUAUCUCCAUAGACAUAUACACUGGGAUCAAGUGCACUCUCAGCAAGUUUGCGGGUGACUCCAAGCUGAGUGGUGCAGAUGACAUGCCUGAGGGACAGCAUACCAUCCAGAUGGACCUGGACAAGCUUGGGAAGUGGGCCCAUGAGUUUCAACAGACCAAGUACAAGGUACUGAGUCAGGGCAACCCCCAGUAUCAAUGGGGCAUGAAGGGACCGAGAGCAGCCCUGCAGAGAAGGACUUGGGCUACUGGUGUACGAAAAAUUAGACAUGAGCCGGCAAUGUGUGCUUGCAGACCAGAAGGCAAAUUGUAUCUUUGACUGCAUCAAAAGGACCGUAGCCAGCAGGUCAAGGGAGGUGAUUCUGCCCCUCUACUCUGCUCUGGUGAGACCCCACCUGGAGUACUGUGUGCAGCUCUGGAAUCCUCAGUACAGGAAAGACAUGGACCUGUUGGAGAGGGUCCAGAGGAGGGCCACCAGGAUGAUCAGAGGGAUGGAGCACCUCUCCUCUGAGGACAGGCUGAGAGAGUUUGGGUUGUUCAGCUUGGGGAAGGCUCCGGGGAGACCUUAUUGCAGACUUUCACUGCUUAAAAGUAGUCUAUUAGAAAGAUGGGGACAUACUUUUUAGAAGGGCAUGUUAUGACAGGACAAGGGGUAAUGGUUUUAAACUAAAGGAAGGGGAGAUUCAGCCUCAUACAUACAGUUAGGACCUAAAACAGUUGUACCAGACAGGACAAGUUGUGUUACAGUGAGGCAGAAGGAGGGGCACAUCACACAAAAAUGUUUCAAAAACUGCUGGCUAACUGGAAGCUGCUGUAAUUUCAGUUAUGUAAAGGACUUCUACCUCUGUCAUUUGUAGUCACAAAUCCUGUGAGUCAGAAUUGUUUUUAUAGAGCUGCUGACUGUUAAGCACAUAAGUCCAUCUGGGGUCUUUCUAACUUGCUUUCUUGACUCCAGUGGGCAUCAGGAAUGGGUGCUUAGAGGAAGAAUAUCUGGUGACUGUACAGGGGCACGCGCACAGACCUUUAAACAAUGCUGCACUGUUGGGGCCUUCUGGUUGUCUGGAGCUUGGCCUUCAUAACUGUAUUGUCAACUGUGAAGUGGAGCAUUUACUGGAGGGAUAAGCAGAUAAAAUAUGAGAUCUCAGUAUAAGAGUAUUUUUGUGAUAGCGUAUGUCUUGACAAAUGAAGUGUUCUGAGUUUGCUAAACAGAAGCUUUGAAAUACAUUCCUGGGCUUCUUAGUGUCCUCAGCUGAUCAGCUGAAAAGCAUCACUAGUCUAUAUGUGUGGAUAAGAGCUCAUUCUGCUCUGCCUUGCUCCUCAUGAUGUCAUUUAAAACUGUGCAAAAUAAAUAUUACCUUUCUUAUUUGUUUUGUGCUUGUUGUAAUUAAUCACUUGCAUAGUAAGGAAAGGAGUUUUGUCUUUUGUGAGUUCCUAUCAGCUUUCUGUGUAAUUAUUUAGUGCUAUUUCCUGUUAUAUUAUUUGGACAGACAUAGGGCUGGCAUUUCAGUGUCAACUUAAUAGCAAUGAAUAUUUGUACAUAAUGUUUUGUGUAAAUGACUUAGGCAUUACUCUUCUGUCAUCUCUCUGCAACAGAGGGGAAAAAUAUUCUAGCCUUUGUUUUUAUCUAUAGACUAAAAUAAAUAACUAGAAUUAUUCAGGAAGAAAUAAAUUAUUAAUUCCCGAUGUAUUGUCCCACUUUUAUUUGUCUUGAGGAUAUGUUUAUAUUUUGCAUGCCUCUAGAAGAAUUGAUGGAUUUUUCUUGUUUUGGUUUGGUUUGGUCUUUUUUCAGUUGCUGUUUUCUAUAAGGCAAAAUUAUAGUGUUGAGAUUAUUAUAAAGUGUAGCUGCUGUAGUCAAAAAGUGUGUGUUUUCUCUGAGAUGAAAUGAAAUGUCUCCAUUAAUCCCCGGAGGGGAAGGAAUGAAUGUAAGCAAAAUGUAAGAAAUUUUUACUUCUGAGUACUGUAUGGAGGCUGAAUCAAAUUGGCUGUGGAGCUGCAUUCUAGUUGUCUAAUAGGUUAUGUUUCUUUGUUUGUUUAUUUUUUCUGUAAUUUUUUUUUAUUUUAACAUAUUUAAUACAUUUCUGAUUUAAAAAAAAGGGACACUCCUCUGAAGAAAUAUUUUCAUGAAGAACUACUUUUUUUACCAGAUCUGACAGCUCAGGUUCUUAUGCAGAUUGAUAUUGUAAUGAAAUAACUGGUUUUCCAUACCAAAUAUUGCUACAAUACAUGCAAUCUACAGAUGCAUCUUUACAAGAUAAUGAUUUAUAGUUAUCAAAAAUGGGUUUGAUAGAAAAUAGAGUUCAGACCAGAAGGGAUAAGAAAUUUUUGAGUGAUUUUUGCAAAGUUCAUUUCCAGAAUACAAUUAAUCAUAUCCCAUGUAUACUGUUCAGUGGUCUGUGAGGUCAGCCCACUUCCUCUGUGGUUGGUGGAAAGGUUCCUAUUCACUCAGUGGAGUUUCACCUGUGGUAGCAAAAGAUAUGAACAUCCCUGCCUGGCACCUGCAAUAUAUGCAUAUAGCUACAAUUUCCCCCAUGCAUAUUAAAAUGACCAGGAAAAGGAUUUCUUUAAGCUAGUGUUGGUAAAAGGACAAUAAUCUUUCUUCUGCUUUGAGAAUCAGGUAAUCUGAUUAGCAAUUGGUAUCUGCAAGCUGGAGCAACUCUGGAGACAGAUUAUGUACAGUGGCUUUUCAUGAAAUAUCCAGCUAUGUUAGUGCAGUAGGAGGAGGAAGAAACACAAAGGUCAGUUUUAAUCACUACUUCCUGAAAGCACUGGAAUUUUGAAUCAAAAUCACAACAGUAAUGGAAAAGGAAAAAAAUUGCUGUAUUUACUGAUUGACAGGUGGUUCCCUUUUUUUAAUUUGGUUGUUUGGUGGUGGUGCGGUUGGUUGUUUCUUUGGUUUGCUUUUUUGGUAUUGUUUGUUUGUUUGUUUGUUUGUUUUUUGCUGUGGCUUCUUUACUGUAAUUAAUUUUAUUUGUUAGAUUUCAUUUCAUAUAAACUUUUCCAUUCUGUGUCAUAAAAUAUCCUCUUAUCCUCCCUAGAAAGUAACUUAAGAAAACCUAAGCUAGCAGAAACCUUAAGCGGGAUAAUUAUGUGCUUUGGAAACAUAUCUAGCUCUGUCUAUUUGCAGAACUGAAGAAGUGGUCUGUAGUGAUUUGGGUUACUUUUAUUGAUUGGUGAUUCCUUCAAAUAGAUUUCGCUUUGUCUUCUGUUUUCCUCAGACAAUUCUAGCAUGAAUUGUGUUUCUAAUCUGUGCAAGAGUACAAGAGUACUUUUAACUAAAUUACUUGAGCGUGAUCCUGAAGGUAUAAACUUGUAUUGUAGUGAACAAUUUUAGGGAACUACCCCAUGUUGUCAAUCCAAACUUCAGAGAGUCCGGAUAUUUUUUUUUCUUUUUCCAGCUGCAUUUUUCCAAGUAGAUCAUAAGGGAAUUUUCUUCUUUUUAAGAGCUCUUUCUGUGAGCCAGCUUGUGUUAGGACUUGGUGGUGUAAUACAGAAAUUGGUGCCUGAAAGAAACUUCAUCUCUUUUUCAUUAAUCUUUGGGUUGUUAUUGUUAACUUUUUAUUUGUUUGUUUUUCCAGUUUAUAUGCCUUUCCAAUAAAAGACUGACUGACCACUUUCAUUUUUCUAUUUUGAAAAUUCUUCACUAUGAGGGUGGUGAGGCACUGGAACAGGUUGCCCAGAGAAGCUGUGAAUGCUUCAUCCCUGGAAGUGUUUGAGGCCAAGCUGGAUGGAGCAACCUGGUCUAAUGGAAAGUAUCCCUGCCCAUUGCAUUGGGGUUGGAACUAGAUUAUCUUUAGGGACCCUUCCAGACUAAACCAUUCUAUGAUUUACUUCUCUAUCACAGUUUCUUUGGGAACAAGAAAUGCUUUUUGAUGAAGCAUCUCUUCGUUGCCUGUAUUGCUUUUUUUUUUUUUUUUUUCCUAACAGUCAGAUGUUAAAGGUCUAUCACAGGCUGAAAAAUUUAGGGACUAUUGCAAGGUCCUUGAUUAGUCACUUCAUAGUUUUCUUUCUGUAAUGGCACUCUGUGUCCAAAAGUAUCUUAACUAAACUUUGGUUUGUUGUGUCCACGGCAUGCCCUUUGACUGCAGUAAAAGCAUAGCCUGUCCCACCACAGGGAAGGAUGAAACCUCAGAAGACAUUUGAUCAAGCUCUUCUAAUGACUGCAUAUUUUUCUGGAUGUGCAGGCAUGUGGGGAGUUUCAGUCUGCUCAUCUGAAAUACAAAACCUUAUCUUCCAGCACCCUCUAUUAAAUUAACUUGCUUCCCCAUUGCCACUCAGUGGUAGUGCCAACCUGCAUAUGUGCAUUGCACUUGGAGAGUAGAAGCCAUGAGGGUGGUCUGCACAAGACUGCCUAUUUAAAAAUAGCUGCUGUCUUCUGGGGCUGAGCAUAUUUCCAAGGUGAGCUCAGAACAUGGGGACAUGGGUUCCAAUCACUGCUGGUGUCAGGCAGCCCACUGGUUUCUGCAGGGAGCUGCUUACCUCUCCCCAUUGCUAGAGCAGGUCUUUCUUGCAGACCUGUUGUCUGAAGAGCCAGGAUCAUUUGCUGAUAGAAUCAAAGAACAAUUUGGGUUAGAAGGGACCUUUAAAGGAUUUGAGGAGGAGGAUUUGAAGUAGAUGGUCUGCAGAGGUGCCUCCCAGCAGUAGUUCUGAUUUUCUAUAAGAGCUUGCUAUAUUUUUAACAAUUUCUGACAGAUAUUUGCUCUUUAUUAACGCUUAAAUACUUUGCAGACCUCUUGUGUGCUUGUGUGUCUGUGUGCUGAGGGUUUCACUGGCUGUCUCAAGUUCCCAGCAUCGGACAUGUGGCAGCUCAGGCAUGAGCGUGCAUGGGAGAAAGACUGUCAUGGCUAUUUUUCUGUUUACCAGUAUAUAUCAGGCUGUUGUCCUCUUGUAUUGACAAUUAAUAAUUUUUACUGUAUUUAUUUCAUACAAUAUUACUCUUGUGAACUUCCACACUCUCUGCCUUACAUACUUCCUUUUUUCUUUGGAGUCCCAGAAGCUAAAAACUUAGGGCAGCUACAACCUUAGAAGACUGGAGGAUAUAACAUGUCUUCAGUGGCAUAACAGACCAGGGGUCCUUGCACAUUGUGGAUUGUGUCCACUGGACAGUGUGCUUCCAUUGCAGAAAUGACUACUUACUUCUUUUUUUUUUUUUUUUACUGGAGACCACAUUUGCCAUGUAAGUCAUAAAGCAGCAGUCCAGGACAUCCACAUGAAAUGGCCUGUUUGCUUCACAGGUGUGUCUCUGACUUCCUGGAUCACUGCUACUUGAUGUUGGGGUGAUUGUAGGGUUAGUUUAGACUGAUCCUUUUCAGAUGGAUUGUCAAACCAUGCUCAUCAUACAUUUGUGAAAUUAUCUAAUAUAAUUCAAAAAAGAAAAAUGAAGGAAGAAUGGUAAAGAGAACAACGAGUGGUUCAUGUGGUUCAACACAGCUGGGCAAUCAGCUGACUUAUUAAAAAAAAAUCUAAAUCAUACCAAAUAUAAGCUCAGUCUCCCUCUUUGCUACAGAGGGAGAAGCCACAUGUAAGCAGGGGACUUUAGCUGCCCCACAUAUGGAAAAAGGUUAUCUUUCCUUUCUGUCUUAUUUGCCACCACAUCACAAAGGAGAGUGAGAGAGGUGGGUACUCUGUGGUGUUGGGUGUGGCACGGGCUGUCUUCUGCCUCAAUUCUUUAGUGUCUAAAAAGGAUCAAGCUUAUAUUGUAUUUUUCUCUUUAGUGAAGUACUGAUGGGAUCUCUCUGUCUGUCUGAUAUUUCUGGAACUUUCCAAAAAUUAUAUUUUUUGCCAUAUUUUUUUACUGUGAAGUGUUGAAAUUGGUUGAGUGCAGAAUUUUUAUCAAGUGCAGAUGAAGAAGAAUAUCAGCACACAAGGAAAAUGUGAUCAUGUAUGCUGGAUUUUAAGAUACUGGAAAUGCAGCUGAGUUUAAAAACACAAAAAGUUCAUUACAUUUUCUAGUCUCUAAGGAUCUGACAGUCUUUUAAGAAUCACUUUGGACAAAAAUGCCUAUACAAGAAAAUGGGGAAGUAUAUUUUAUUCAGUAAAUGUAAGAGGGUUUUCUUUGUUUUGGGUUUAACUUGGGUAGGUUGGGUUUGUUUAUUUGUUUUUGGUGGUGGUGGUGUUAGUGAAAAAAAAGAAAAGGAAUUGUUGAUUGUUCUGAGUUUAGCCUUGGCAAGUCACAAAGCUACUUUAUUAAAACCUCAGCUGUGCCCAAAACACAUGUUCCAGCAACAUAAACACUUUACCAUGGCUUAAAGGCCAGGCUGAAUGUCAUGGCAGUGGGAUAUUAGAACUGCAUUUUGCAGAAUAUCAGUUAACAAUGUUUCUUCCACCAAGUAAAAUAAUUUUUUACUGAAUUUGCAUUAUUUAGAAAUCAAUACGCUUAUUAAGAACCAGGAGAUUUUUAGUGAUUCAAUAGUUAUUAAAAGCAGUAAAAUAAAGCUCUUAAACAGAUUAUAUAACUUGAUACUAGAAAACUUAAUUUAUCUGAAGGCAUUGCAGUUUGCAAAUCUAAGGGAUUCCCUUUCUAUAGAUAAUAGGAAUUUGCAGACAAUUUAUGCAACGUACACACCUUGAUUUAUUGAUGUUUAAUUCUAGCAGUAUGUGAGAUGAGUCCAUGAGGUAGUGGUAAGAAGUGUGAAAAACUAUUGCUUUUGCUUUCUUACAGGGCACUUUUUCCUAAUUAAAUAAUUUAGUCUAUGAUGUAAUACUUGGUCUCCUUUCUCUUUCUUGCUGGAUGGCAUAGCCUUUGUUGUAACCAAAUUCAAAGGGUACAAUUCUAAGAACCCACAGAAUGCAUCUGUGUCCAUUUAGGUAUUGGCAAAGUCAGAUAAACCCAACAACAGAUCACACAGUACUCCUGGCUCUACUUAGAAGUCAUGCAGAAGCUCCUUUUUCAUGGAGCCAAUAAUAUUCCAGAUGUUUUCUGCCUGCUGUUUCAAAAGGAAUACUUCGAAUUAUUGAAAUACACUAAUUUAGACUGUGCAAGGUGCUGAUCAUUCACAGUUGGGUAAAAUGUGCUGGAUGUAAAUAAAUAAAUAAGUCCUAAACUGAAUUUAUGUCCCUUUAUUCCUGUUUAUGAGACCAUGAGGAGGACAGGUCUGGUCCUCUCUGUGGUAUUACGAGGCAGACUGCUGCACUACCAUGGGCCUCUCACCACGGUUAGUAUGCACUAGCAGACAGUGCCCUCCUCUUCUGAGUGAUCAUGCACAAAGUAAAUCAGUAAAACUCUAGUGGCUGAGAAACUGCAGCGGAACUGAAUAGGUCUGAUUGUCACUCCUGGCUUUGCUAUAGAUUGUCUGUAUGGCCUUGGAUGGACAUUGGUUUCUUUUAUACAGAGAUGGAAGCCAGAUGUAUGUUCUUUCUCCUGUUUAUUUUGGCUGGAGCUUCAGAGCAGAGGCUGACUCUGAGUGUGUUCUGCAAGACAAAGAAUUCACAGAACCUCCCCAUCCAUGAAUGCAGGACUGAUGUACUUUUGCACUGCUGAGGAGGCAGUGGCUCCUCACUGCUUGCUGGAUGUGAUGGCUCACCUGCUUGCUCUGGAGGGAUCUGCAGUCACACUACAUAGUGCCAGAGCACCAUGAGUGGGUCGGUCUCAUUCUUGACAGCAACUAUGCUCAAGAGAAGUGCUAAAGGUAGCCUUAGCUGAGAAGGGAAUUUAAAUGGUUAUCUUGUCACCAGAUUAGUCAUAGGUGUGUCAUAGAGGGGAAGUCUGACAGAACUUUGUUGUACUUACUGCCAGAAGAAAGUGGAAAAUCAUGUUCAACAAAAGGAGCAGAAGCCAAGCCAAAUCCCCAGUGACCUAUUCUUCUUCUUGCUAAGCGGCUACAUGUGUUCUGUCGCUGAGCAUCCUGCUAAACUUUCAUGGAAAUUUUUGGUGGGGUGUGCUGGGACUGCUGACUCAGUGCAGCUCUUGCAGCCUAUUCAACAAAAACAUCUGGUACAGCUCUGAUUUACACUUGUUUGAAGAGAGAAAAGCAGGUGCAUAUAUUCCUGCAGUGGGCAGCUGUCAAAAGAAGGGACCUUUUCCCACACCAUCACUCCUUAGGGUGACUCUGCUCACUUCUGUGACUGUUAAGAGUUUAGAAGCCACAUACUCUUAUCUCAGCACAUAAAUAUUAGGCAUCCAUCAAUCAAAUGACAAUGAGAAACUCUAUUUCCUUCUUACACAGAAUAAUUUAUAUCACUAAUGAAGGAUUUGUCUGUUUGGUGUAAGUGGUCUGUUUUCAACUGGUGGAGUUAAUUUAAAUGGAUUUAGAUUUGGUAGACUGAUGUAGCUGAAUGGAAAAAUAUCUCACAAUUUAAUAGAGAUAUCCACUGAGGAGCUAAAUGACUGGUAAAAAUUAUUGAUGUUUUCUUCUACAAAAUAAAUCUUAACUAACAGAUCUAUUUAAUAGAAGUAUCAAGUACUUAUCAGUUUGUUGUGUUACCCUGCUGCAAUUUGGGAAGAUAAGAAAGAGUUGUGAGGUGAGUCUGCCCCUCUGGUAUUGGUGCUGAAGAUUGAAGGCCAGCUCUGCAAUGAGUGUAAGCAUGCACAAGCACUGGUUGAACUGUUUAAUAGUUUCUAGGGCACUGAUGUAGCCAUCCACUAGAAGCUCCAGGAUAUAUUCCCAUUUGGAAUGCUCCUUUUCCAGCAGUUUGGCACAGGUUUGAAGUGUAGUGACUAUCUGCAUUGGAAAGCUAAACUUAAUGAAGUAGUUAAUUGGGCUUAAAGGCUGCAGUUCACUAGUGCAUGUCUCCAGGAUUAGGCUGGCAUAGUUUCUUUGAAAUCACUGAGUUAACACUGGCAUGAAGUUGGAAUAAGUGCCAAAUGGAUCUCUAAUCUUCUGUCAUCAGUCAGAAAUGGUGCUUCUGUGGCAAAGUAGGUAAACAGCAUCCUGGGCUGAGUUAGGAAGGGUGAUGCGAGCAGAUCCAGGGACGUGACCCUUCCACUCAGCUCAGUGCUGCUCAGACAUAUCUACAGUACUAGCUCCCACUCUGUGCUCCCCGGUACCAGAGAAACAUAGACAUCCUGGAAAGAGUUCAGCAAAGGGCCACAAAGAGGAUGGAGAAGUUGGAGCAUCUGACAUAAAAGGAGAAGCUGAGAUAGCUGGAACUGCUUAGGCUGUGGAAGAGAAGGAUCAGGAGGAAUCUCUUCACUGUGUACAAAUACCUGCUGGGAAGGAAUAAAGAAAAUUGAUCCAAAAUCUUUUGGGGUGUCCAAUGAAAGAACAAGUGCACAAUAGGCACAAGGUGGCUUUUGGUUGGUGGUUUGGGGUUUGGUUUUGUUGAUAUUUUCACUGUUACAGUGGUUGAACACUGGCAUGGGAUAGCCAGAGAGGUUAUGGAGUUUCUAUCACUAGCCAUAUUCAAAACGUUACUGGGUAAUACCCUGUGUAACUUGUUGUAGGUAACCCUGCUCUAAGCAGGGGGUUUGGAUUAUUAAUAGGUAUCUCUAAAGACCCCUCCCAGCCUCAACCAUUCUGGGAUUCUGUCAUUGAAGAAAGUCUCAAUGUUACAGCCAGCUGCACAAUGUGUGCAGAAAUGCCAUGGUUGUUAACUCACCUUAACUGAAUCACAGAAUCAUAGAAUGUCCUGAGUUGGAAGGAUCCACAAGGAUCAUUGAGUCCAACUCCUGUCCAACUCCUGCUCCCACCCUCUGGGUGAAGAACCUUUUCCUAAUGUCCAACCUAAACAUCGCCUGGCACAUCUUCCUGCCAUUCCUAUGGGUUCUGCCAUUGGUCACUAAAAAGAAGAGUUUGGUGCCUGCCCCUCCUACUCCCCUUGUGAGGAAGUUGUAGACCAUGACGAGGUCUCUUCUUAGUCUCCUCCAGGCUGAACAAACCAAGUUACUUUAGCCACUCCUCAUACGGCUUCCUCUCCAAACCUUUCACCAACUUUGUAGCCCUCUUCUGGACACUGUCCAGAAACUUAAUAUCGUUUUUAUCCUGUGUUGCUCAGAACUGCACACAGGGCUCCAGGCGAGGCUGCACCAGUGCAGAGUAGAGUGGGACAAUCACCUCCCUUGACUGGCUGGCAAUGCCGUGCUCAAUGCACCCCAGGACACGGGUGGCCCUCUUGGCUGCCGGGGCACUGUUGGCUUAUGUUCAACUUGCCAUCAACCAGAACCCCCAGAUCCCUCUCUGAAGAGCUGCUCUCCAGCAUCUCGUUCCCCCGUCUCUAUGGACAGCCAGGGUUGCUGUGUCCCAGGUACAAAAUCCAGCACUUGCCCAUGUUGAACUUCAUGUGGUUGGUGAUUGUCCAGUUCUUCAGUUCUCCAGAUCCCUCUGCAGGGCCUUUCUGCCCUCCAGAGUGUCAACUGCUCCUCCCAAUUUUGUGUCAUCAGCAAAGUUAUUAAGCAAUCCCUCAAGUCCUGUGUCUAAGUCAUUUAUGAAGACAUUGAGGAGUGCUGGCCCUAAGAUGGACCCCUGCAGAAACCGCUAGUGACUGGUCACCAGCCCGACAUAGCUGCAUUUACUAGAACCCUUUGAGCCUGGCCCAUCAGCCAAUUGCUCACCCACUGCAUUGUGUGUUUAUCCAGCUGUGUGCCGGACAUCUUGUCCAGGGGAAUACUGUGAGAGACAGUAUCAAAGGCUUUACUGAAACCCAAAAAGAUCAUGUCAACAGGAUUCCCUUGGUCAACUAGGUGGGUAACCUUGUUGUAGAAAGAAAUUAAGUUUGUCAAGCAGGACUUUCCCCUCAUGAACCUGUGCUGGCUGGAACCAAUGACUGCACUGUCAUUCAGGUGCUUUUCAGUAACUCCCAGAACAACCUUCUCCAUGAUUUUGCCAGGCAAAGAAGUGAAGCUCACAGGCCUGUAGUUGCCAGGGUCAUCCCUGUUGCUUUACUUGUAGACUGGGACAUCUGCCAGCUUCCAGUCAUGCAGGACCUCUCCAGAUUCCCAGGAGCAUUGAAAAAUCACAGAGAGAGGUCUUGCUGUGAUGUUAGCCAGCUCUUUAAGCACCCUUGGAUGAAUCCCAUCAGGCCCCAUCUGCUUGUAGGGAUCUAGUUGGAGUAGCAAAUCCCAUUUAAGUUGCAGAUCAACUGGGAGUUUAUUCUUCUCACAGCCAUGGUUUUCUAAGCCAGGGUUAUGGGGACCCCCAAGUCCAUCACUGGUGUUGAAGACUGAGGUGAAGAAAGCAUUAAACGUCUCAGCUUUGUCUGUGUCCCUGUUAAUAAGUUGACCAUGCUCAUCAGGUAAUGAUGUUUGCCUUUUGCCUUUAAUAUAGUUUUUAAAGCCUUUUUAUUGUCCUUCACAGCAUUGGCCAGCUUCAAUUCUUAUUGAGCUUUGUCAGCAAGAAUUUCCUCCCUGCAGUAGUGAACAGCAUCUCUAUAGUACUCCCAUAUUGCCUGACCUUGCUUCUACUGACCAUGUAAUUUCUUUUUUUGCUAUAUUCCAAGAAGAAGAUCCCUGCUUAACCAAGCUGGCUUUUUGCCUCACCUGUUAGAUUUUCAUCAUUUUGGACUUGCCUGGUUCUGUGUUCUUAGUAGGUGGUACUUAAAAAAUGACCAACACUGAUGGACCCCAACAUCUUCAAAAGCUUCUUCCCAAGGAAUCUCACUAAGUACUUCUCUGAGCAGCCUGAAAUAUGCCCUUUUCCUAUCUAGGGUUAAGGUUUUGCUGGAAGUUUUCCUCCCAUUUGCAAAAAUUUUAAACCUGGCUGCAUCAUGGUCACUGUGGCCAAGGAAGGCAUCAGUCGCCACAUCUUCCAUGAAACCCACUCUGUAAGUGAGAAUCAAAUCUAGGAAGGCACCUUUCCUGGUCAGUUCCCUCAGUACCUGCACCAAGAAAUUAUCAUCCAGGUGUUUCAGGAAUAUUCUGGACCUGUUGGUGCCAGCUGUAUGAUAUUCCCAGUUGACAUCUGGCAAGUUAAAGUCCCCCAUAAGGACAAGGGCAGAUCAUUUGCAGGUUUCAUUUAGUUCCUUAGAGAAUAUCUCAUCAGUGUCAUCAUCCUGGCUGGGUGGCCUAUAGUAGACACCCAUGAUGACAUCCGCUUUAUUUGUCUGACCCUUAAUCCUUACCCAUAGGCUCUCAACCUUGCCAUUGCCAACUGUCAGCUCCAUGCAACCCAGUUGUGUGCUGAUGCAGUUCAUGUGCUGCCUAAACUUCGCUCACCAGUCUCUCAUUCUUCUAAACAUGGUUCAUACUGAUUCAGAUAACAAGGAAACACUGUGACAGAUUCAAUUAGGGCACAGAGGAAUGUCUAAAGUGUAAGUAACACUUGAGAAUUACACAGAAAUGUUUGGGGAGAAGGAUGAACAAUGCCCUGACUGUUAUUCACUGACCAUCGGAGCAAAUGAGCUUAGCUAGCAAAGAGAAAGUGUACCUCUGAGCCAGUCAAAUGCAAGAUGAGAUCUGCAAGUCAAACCGCAAUUCAGUUUUGCAUGGCAUUUUACUAUAAAAGGCCCUGUGUGUUAAAUUCCAUGUACAGUUUCCAGUUUUCAUGUGGUUUUGCAGUUACAUCUACUGGGAUUAACCCUGCAACUUGUACUUAACAAUGCUUCAGGUGAUGGUUAGGCUGAACAGAACAUUCCAUGGUUGCUUCAGCUCUGCAGUGUGGGAGAUUUGAGGGAUUUUCUUCAAGUUAAUGUUGGAUGGGUUUCUAUUAGAUGGAGAUUUGUUAUUAAACUAGCCAGGCCCAAAAGAAUUUCAAGGCCACCUUGGAAAGCUGAAAACACGACGUAAAUCAACAGACCUAUUAGCAGUGAGACUCGGGCGCGUGGACAGCUCGUGAACAUGGACAAUAUCCAAUCAGCCAAUGCAUGCUUGGAGCGUGGACGCGUGAUCAGGAAAUAACUGCAUAUAUAAGGAGGCUUGUUUCUCUAAUAAAUGGCUUCACUUGAAUUCAUAUUGGAUUGUGUAGAGUCCAUGAUUUUUCGCCCUUGCACUGCAGGACCAGGAAUUAGUAAGAAAUGUGAUUAACAUUGUGAUUACAUUUAGUUUUCACAGGUUUGCCUUCCCAAUAAGAUGGCAUUUCCAUUCUCUAAAAGGCAAAUGUGGACAGAAUAUGACUGGUGAGAACAGGAGUCUCAGAUCCAGCCUGUGACAGGUGUAGCAGAAGACAGCCUGAAGCAUCCAGCUAGACACUGUUAUCUCAAGGAGUUUGGCCAAGGCUGCUCUGUGGUUUGGGAACAGAAGUUCACCUGAACCUCAGGGCAGUGUUUGUUACUGGGCAAAGGAUUUGCAGAGAGCUUUUGAAGACUUCCCAGGUGGAGCAAAAAUGCUCUAUGCUAUUCUAAUGUUUUAGAUCUAUGUGAGUGAUUCCUAAACUUCUGAGAAACCCCAGUGUGAGGGGCCAGUGAGGCUUUACUAAAGCAGCUUCUUUAAAACAUUGUACUAUCUGUGCAGAAACACUUCAAUUGCAACAUACUAGCUAUGUUUAAAGAAAAACAAACAAACAAACAAACAAACAAAAGCUCUGAAUGUUUUGUGGCAAAGAGUGCUGGGGAUGGACUUGCAAGGUUAUGUAGUUGUGAGAAAACAGAUUGCUAGAACCCAUCAGGUUUGUACACACCCAGUGUUCCUUUGUGUUUGCUGGUGCUUGCUGUAUUCCUGUUUGUCUUUUGACUGCUAUUUUCUCAUUUCAGGUGCCUUCAUUCUCUCAGAACAUUCAAUGUGCUUUGGAACACAGCUAUUAUUUUAAAUCACCUACUCUUACCUGCAGACAGUGUGUCUGUUUGGGAAUUCUGACCCACUAACAUGAAUGUACGUUAAUUGAUAUGAUCAGCUAGUUCUGCAGUGACAUCAGUCUGUCAGGGAGGUUGAUCCAGGCAGUCGUGGUGGAGUAAUGAAGAGUGCCUCCAUGAAACAGGUGCUAAAGCCUCAGAAUGGAAACGUAUGAUACAUGAAGAAGAACAUGCAAAGUCUCUCAGAGAAUAAACAGUAUUAUUUCCUGACAAAAUGGCACACUGAUAAUUAUUGAGCAACAGCAUGACAUGCAGAAGAUAAAGAAACCCUAAAAAUGGAACUGACGUGUUUGUGAGACUGUUGCAGCUCAGGUCUUUAUCUACUUUGGAGUCUGUACCAAACUGCUUCUGGUUUGUCUGGAGAGGACAUCAAGCGCAUCUGCCACGGAGACUCCCACACAAACCAAGAGUACAAAAGAUUCACAGGUAUUUUUCCAGACUGACAGGGAAACCAUGCUAAUAGGAGCAUCAGUAAUGCAGCAAAAGCUCAGGACAAUGCCAGAGGAAUCUGACACCUACUUUUUUGAUGUGAUGCUGCCACAAGGUUAUUCUUCCAUGCCUGGGACACCAAAGUCUAAAUCUAUAUUCGUCUCAGAGCAUUCCAUGUAGAGCCAUCUCAAAAGAAAAGGAUUGCAGACCUGGAGAAGAGAGAGAACAAGAGUGGAGCCACCAAAUGAAAAAGUGAUGGAUGGUUUGCAGAAUGACUUCGUAAAUAUAAGCUGGGAAGGAAGGUACACAGCUAGUCCCACCAGAGAGCUUGACCCUUCUCUCCCCAGAAGUGCCCUACAGGAUGAUGCCCUGACUGGUCCCAGUAAAGGUGACUGUGCACAUAGGCUCACAGUUGCAACAGAAGUGAUCUGUGCCCCUUUGCAAGUCCCCUUGGUCUGUGCUUUGGCCACUUCAGCUGCAGACUCCCACUCUGGCACUGGUAGUAUGUCUGCCUCUCCUCUGACGGCAAGCUGGAGGAACCUGCCUGGCCUUUGCACACAGAGUUGGAGCAUGAGAUGUGUUUGUGUCAUCUCCAGGUGGACAGUGGGGAGAAAGCCACAGGGAAGUGCACGUGGGUGGGAUGCAAAGCAUACCCAUGUGCCAAGCACCCCCACUGCAAUGGGGAGAUGGGCAGAUCCUGCUGGAAGAACUCUUUCCCCACAGAUGAAGCAGGCACCAACUGGGAAUUCCUGGGAGGCAGAUGCCCUGUGAUAGGAGUGUGGCACCAACAACUGAAAUUGUGUGUUAUCUUUCAGAGCAGUGUUUAAUUUGAAGCGUAUUUCCAACUGACCUGACAAAUUAUUUUCCAAGGCAACAACAGAUGGCAGAAGUCAGAUGGUGCAGUAAUUUCAAAGCCUCUCCAGAGGAAGGAAGUGAAAUUACAAGCAUAUACUCUCUACGCAUUAGGAAAGCAUGGGAUCUUAAUAUCUGCAAUAGCUGAAAAUAGUGUUAAGAAGACAUGUCAGCUGGACUUUUGAAGUUAUUCUCAUUGUCUUGACUGGUAUGGUUGCACAUUUCUCAAACCUUCUUGAUUUCUAAAUGGUAUAUUAAGCCAACAUUUAAAUUACUUAUUUCAUUACUUAGAUGUUUUCUAUGCAUCACCUUUGUCAAAUCACAUUGUUGCUUGUUGCAUCAGUUUCUUGGCUGCAAAACAUAGAUAAAUACCCUCCACUGUUCCUAUGCUUUUAGAUGACAGACUGCCUAACCAAGAAUUUUUUCAUAUCUUCCUUUUUUUUUUUCCUCUUCUUUUUUUGGUGCUGGACUCUGGCUGGAAAUUUAUCCCAUGCAAGAAGUUGUUGGGCUGGAUUGCUUUGCUACCACCUGCUGUGUAAAGGAACAUCAAAGUGACUGCUGUUUCAAUGUCUUUGCCUUUCUUUAUUGUUAUCUAUUUAUUUAAGCUGGUAAAGGUUUGCUUUUCCUUGUUGCAGUUUUACUGUUGCCUGUCCCUUCCCAAGAUUGAACUGAAUGUUUUGAUAGUUCUUUUCGAUUUUC